CAACCAGCCUCAAGUAAACAAUCUCCAAACUUUGGAUCAUUGGGAUUCAUCUUAUUCAAAGCAAUGGACUUGUGAAGAAUCUCAUCUAAGUUUUUCAAGGAAUAGUCAGGAAAGCGUUCCUCAAGAAAUCUCCAUAUAGUAUAAGCACAAUCAAGAGUAGGCAAGUGACCAAUCAAAUUUCUAGGCAAUCCUCUAGUGAUAGGAUUGAUAGUUCUAAUAUUGUGAAUCAUGUCAAGAGACUCGUCAUGGGUGGAUGCAAGGGAUCAACAAGGGGUUCACAAGGCGUAGUAAUGUACUUGUUCAAGUGAUAUUCAUGAAAAAAUCCAAGCAUCUCAUUUUUCCACUCACUAAAGAACUCUCCAUCAAGCAUAGGCACUCUAUGUCUAAGACUCCCCAACAUAGACUCAUCCAUCUUCCUCCAAUGGUGAUUAAACCAAAGCAAUGGAGACCAAAGCUCUGAUACCAAUUGAAAGGAUCGAGAAGAGGUGUCUAGAGGGGGGUGAUUAGACCCUCAACAAACAAUGUUGACAAUUUUUAAGUUUUUUAAGUUGAGGUGGUAGAUUAACACAAUUUCAAGCAUACACAAUACAAUUCAAGCAAGCAUGCAAAGAGUAUAUGAGCAGCGCAAAGUAAAGCAUGCAACAUGCAAGAAAGUAAAGGGAUGGGAUUGGAGUGUGCAAACACAAUUGGAGACACAGAUAUUUUUGGCGUGGUUCCGAUAGGUGGUGCUAUCGUACAUCCAUGUUGAUGGAGACUUCAACCCACGGAGGGUAAUGGCUAUGCGAGUCCACGGAGGGAUCCACCCACGAAGGUUCCACGAAGAAGCAACCUUCUAUAUCCCAUCAUGGCCAUCGCACACGAAGGACUUGCCUCACUAGGGUAGAUCUUCACGAAGUAGGCGAUCUCCUUACCCUUACAAACUCCUUGGUUCAACUCCACAAUCUUGACAGAGGCUCCCAAGUGACACCUAACCAAUCUAGGAGACAGCACUCUCCAAAAGUAAUAGAUGGUGUGUUGUUGAUAAACUCCUUGCUCUUGUGCUUCAAAUGAUAGUCUCCCCAACACUCAACUCUCUCUCAUAGAUUUGGCUAUGGUGGAAAGAUUAUUUGAGUGCAAAGAAACUUGGGGAAGGCUAGAGAUCAAGAUUCAUAUGGUAGGAUUGGAAUAUCUUGGUCUCAACACAUGCGUAGGUGGUUCUCUUUCAAAAAAUGAGUAGUGCAAGUGUAGGUUUGUUCUAAUUCCCAAACUCGGUGGGACCGAAUCAACAAACUCGGUCAGACUGAUUUAGGUAAAAAUGUGAACGUUAGGAUUUUCGUUGGGACCGAUAUAGUCAUCUUGGUGAGACCGAUGUGCAGGGAUUAGGGUAAAACCUCCACUUGGUUUGACCGAUUACUCAAACUCGGUGUGACCGAUUUUGGUAAUAAGUAAACAGAGGAUUGGUCAAGCAAACUCGGUGGGACCAACUAAACGAACUCGGUUAGACCGAAAAUGUUGCAAUAGAUCACAGAGAGUUUGCAAGCCCAUCUAGGUGAGACCAAAAUCCCAUCGGUGAGACCAAAGUGACUAGGGUUUGGCAGUGGCUGAAUAUGAUGAAACUUGAUGGCGCCGGAUAGACAAAGUCAGUGGGGCCGAGUUUGAUUCUUAGGUUUAGGACAUAUGUGGAUGUGAGAAAGUGGCUGAGGGUUUUGGAGAAUAUCACUAAGCACUUUGAGAAAGCAAGUCAUUAAGCAACACCUCAUCCAGUCUUAAUAGUAUUGGCUUUCCUAUGGACUCAAUGUGAUCUUGAAUCACUAAAAUGGAAAAUGUAGAGUCUUGAGCUUUUGCCAAUAUUUGUCCUUAGCAUCUUGAAGGAGUUCCACAUCCUCUUGUCCAUGUCCAUGCCACUCCAAUGUUGAACUUAUCUGAAAUGCACUAGGCAGAAGUAUUAGUCCAACAAGAGAUAUGUUCUCAUGAAUUACCAAAAUCCCCGGGGAGCACUUGUGCUUUCAGAGGGGCUGAGGAAGAACUAGUACAUUGGAGAAUAGCCUCAGGAGGUGUGUUCUUGAGCUCAAGUGAGCUGGUGAGGUGGUGAGGGUGGAAUGGAUCCGGUCCCUCCUGUUGGUGGUGGCUAGGUCCUAUUUAUAGUGGCCUUGGUCCUCUUCCCAAAUGUAGGCGGGAAGGAAUCCCACAACGGCCAAAUUUGAAGGGAGACAACAAGUACGUCCUAUCCUGACUAAAGUGGUCUUUGCCUGCAAAAGACUCUGGUCGUGACGCUACGGUGAGCUCGAUGGUGACCUCCGUCCUGGCGUCCUGGCGGUCUUGGUCUUGUUGCACCAGAAUGGAAACCUUUGGUUGAUUCAUCGGGACUCUGCGCCUGCUGCUUGCAUCCUUUGCACCGAAGAGGAAACUAGUACUCUGCGCCCGCUGGCGCCCGCCUGGUCUUGGUCGUCAUGGCUCACUGUUGGUGUCAAAACUGGCUGAUCCCGGGUAAGGGGCCCCAAGCUAUAUGUCUCAGGACCAAUGCUAACUAUGGACAAAGGACACAGUGUUUACCCAGGUCCGGGCCCUCUUAGUGGAGAUAAAACCCUACUCCUACUUGAUUAUAUUCGAGGGUAUAGGAGUUACAAGAGUUGAUCUACCAUGAGAUCGAGUUGGCUAACCCUAGAUUAGCUAGCCGGGCAAUGUUGUGAUCCUGCCUUCGAUCUACCCAUCGGUUUAUAUUAACACCGGAGGGCCUUAGGGUUGUACAAAGUCAGUUUUACAGAAAGGAAUAAGAUAGCCGGACACCUAUACUUGCCAUGCACGCAUACGGGAGUCCCUACCGGACACGAGAGGUAAUCUUCUGUCUUGUAUAUUGACGGCCCAUCAGUCCAGCCCACAUCCAAUAGACCAGACGCCCAAGGACCCCAUAGUCCAGGACUCCCACAGUAGCCCCUGAACCAGUCUUCAAUGAUGAUGUAUUCGGCGUCUAGAUUGUCUUCGGCAUUGCAAGGCAGGUUCCUUGAAGAAUACACAUUAGCUUUCCUCUGUAAAGGAAUUGUAUCCGGCUUUUCAUAAUGAACACAACCCUUAGCCGCGAAGGUAGGAUAUAUAUAAAAUGAGAACAGUGUCUUUUACUGACAACUUUUUCGAUGAAAUGUCAGACUUGACCCUUUGACAUUUUGAACUAUUUUCCCACCCCGCGUUCCGUGUUUCAAGGCAACGCCUCAUUGGCAUGUCCUGUCAAAACAGAGAUCGUGCCCACCUAAUACGGGAUUGCUCAUCAAUAAUGUUUGGGUAAUCGAACCGUUUGUGGCGUACGCCUUCAUUGGGAAUAGGCGAGAUUCAAGGCACGAGUGGGGGCGGUUGGAAUUUUUACUGCCUAUAAGAAGGCAAUGGAUCCCUACUUUCUCCCCCCAUGCCUUCACAUCUCCUCAGCCUUCCAAUGUCCCAAGCUCUCUGCGCCCGCAAAGUUUCCGUCUUUCUCACCACCACGACCACCUCCUCUGACCAUGUCCAGAUCUGGUUCCAAAGGCAAGUGGGAGGCCUCCUCCGUCACGGAGAAGGAGAUAAAAGCUCGCCGGAGUGCGGGGUACCUCGCCGCCAACAUCACGCAUAGGCUUCCCACCGAAGGUCAAGUCAAUCCCACUCCGGAGCCCGGCGAACGAGUGGUUUUCCUUCCCCACUUCCUUACAGGAUUAGGUUUUCCACUCCACCCAUUCGUCUGUGGACUCAUGUUUAGAUUUCCAUGACCUAGCCCCGAACUCUUUCCUCCACAUCUCGGUGUUCAUCAUCGUGUGUGAGGCUCUCCUCCGCGUCCACCUACACUUUGGCCUAUGGCUCAAGGUCUUCAACGUGAAGUCGAAGGUGGUCGACGGCCACCACAUGGACUGCAGCGGAGCUAUGAUCAACAAGCUGCCAAACACCACAUGGCCCAAGGGGGCCUUUGUGGAGACCAUGAAGAUCUGGCAAAAGGAGUGGUUCUAUAUCACUGAGCCGCGCUGCACUAAGUGGGUGGCAAUUCCGGAGUUCAGAUCCGGACCCCCCAUGAGGCUCGUUUCCUGGAACGCGAAGGGCCACGACUAGGGGUCCCAGACGGAGGUGCAGGCGCUGCAAAUGCGCAUCACCAACGUGCUGGGGAAGAACGUUGGUCUAACCAACGUGGUUCUAAUAAUGCUCUUCCGCCGCAUUCUCCCCUGCCAGCGCUGGCCUUCCCCCAUGUGGGAAUUCAAGCCGGAGGAGCCGCAGACUCUACAACAUUUCCUCGGCGCCACGCAUGAGGGAAUGUGGAAGCUGCUCUUCGAGGCACAGAAGAGCUGGCCCAUGGAGACCGAAGACGUCAGCCUCAACAGCAUGAAUCCGACGUCUCCGGUAAGUAUUCGAUAUUUCUGAAGNNNNNNNNNNNNNNNNNNNNNNNNNNNNNNNNNNNNNNNNNNNNNNNNNNNNNNNNNNNNNNNNNNNNNNNNNNNNNNNNNNNNNNNNNNNNNNNNNNNNNNNNNNNNNNNNNNNNNNNNNNNNNNNNNNNNNNNNNNNNNNNNNNNNNNNNNNNNNNNNNNNNNNNNNNNNNNNNNNNNNNNNNNNNNNNNNNNNNNNNNNNNNNNNNNNNNNNNNNNNNNNNNNNNNNNNNNNNNNNNNNNNNNNNNNNNNNNNNNNNNNNNNNNNNNNNNNNNNNNNNNNNNNNNNNNNNNNNNNNNNNNNNNNNNNNNNNNNNNNNNNNNNNNNNNNNNNNNNNNNNNNNNNNNNNNNNNNNNNNNNNNNNNNNNNNNNNNNNNNNNNNNNNNNNNNNNNNNNNNNNNNNNNNNNNNNAUGUUCGAUCUAUACCAAACUCAUCAGCCCAUCUUUUUGUUACACGGCUGGACCAAGAAGUCAGAGCAGAUCAAGAGUCCAGCUCCGUUUCCUGAAGACCAAGUCACUCCUGCACUAGAGGAGAUGCUGGUCACGGCGCCUUACAAGGCUCCGGAGAAGAAGGCCAAGAAGAAAGGCAAGGGGCCCAAGGACGGUCCCUGCCGCAAAGGCCCUCCGAAAGCAGAGUCCAGAGAGACCGAAGCCGUCUCCUCCCAUGAGGAAGAUGAGGAUGAAGAGGAAGAGGAGGAGGAGGAGGAAGUGGAGAGCGACUCCCCCGUCAAGACGAGGAGGGGAAAAAGGACAGCCUCCGAGAACCUGGAGGGGGCGACCCCGAAAAAGGGGUGGGUGGUCCUCUCGGACAGAUCAUACUCAGAGUUCGAACACAGCCCGAAGAGGGUCCAAAGGGAGAAGCCCCUGGCCAAAACGUAAGUAUCAAAAACUUACCCGUUCAAUUAUCGCUUUAAUCUGCCUCUGUCAUAUCAAGUCUUUCUCUACUUUUCAGUCCUCCGCCCGAGAUCCCGAUUCCCUCCACUUCAGUUGGGAACUGUCUAGACCGUGGAGAGGCGGAGAGUGACGGGCCAUCUCGUGCCUUCUCCCCGUCUGCCAUGGAGGACACCGACGUGUCAUCUCAAAGGCCAUCUCUUGGCCGGGGAGGAGCGGACAAGACCAUCCAGAAGGCGCCUAGGGACAACACCUCGGACGCUGUAGAUCGAGGCACAUCGACCCCCAUGACCACCGAGGGUGGGGGGCUUCUACCGUCCGGGCCUCCGCCGAACACCGUCCCGGAGUCCAGCACGGCUCCAAGUUCGGACCAACACCCCCCUUUGAAAGAGGGGGGAGGAGCAGGAGCUCCGUCGGCGGCCUCUUUCAAUCCAGAGGCUGCAGACACUCUGCACGAAGUGCUGCAACGCGCUUCCAUUGUCGAGGAACACCGCACCCUGAUGGGUGCGGUUAUGGAAAAGGUUCGGUCCACAAAAAGCGGACUCACCAAAGUUUUCAACAGCCUACUGACAGGCAUCAAGGUAUGCGACGUAAUAUUCUCCACUAGUUUUUUUUCGUUGUGUAUAUAUAUGUGUGAGGCAAAACCCAUGUGUAGACAGUAGCCCCUGACACUCUGUCUGGAUUAGAACAAUCCGAACAGAGGAUCACAUACAAGUAUAUAUUGCACUGUAUAUGUUAUUUGACAGGCUUCUUGCUCCGUCUUGAGCUUGCAUUGGUUUUCCUUGAAGAGGAAAGGGUGAUGUAGCACAGUAGCUAAAUUAUUUCCCUCAGUUUUUGAGAACCAAGGUAUCAAUCCAGUAGGAGGCUCCUCAAAAGUCCCACGCACCUACACAAACAAACAAAGAACUCGCAACCGACGCGAUAAAGGGGUUGUCAAUCCCUUCACGGCCACUUGCAAAAGUGAGAUCUAAUAGAGAUAAAAUGAUAAGAUAAAUAUAUUCUUGGUAUUUUAUGAUAUAGAUUGGAAAAGUAAAGAUGCAAAUAAAAGUAGAUUGAAAGCUUAUAUGAUAAAAGAUAGACCCGGGGGCCAUAGGUUUCACUAGAGGCUUCUCUCAAGAUAGCAUAAGUAUUACGGUGGAUGAACAAAUUACUGUCGAGCAAUUGAUAGAAAAGCGAAUAAUUAUGAGAUUAUCUAGGCAUGAUCAUGUAUAUAGGCAUCACGUCCGCAACAAGUGGAACGACUCCUGCCUGCAUCUACUACUAUUACUCCACACAUCAACCGCUAUCCAGCAUGCAUCUAGAGUAUUAAGUUCAUAAGAACAGAGUAACGCUUUAAGAAAGAUGACAUGAUGUAGAGGGAUAAACUCAUGCAAUAUGAUAUAAACCCCAUCUUUUUAUCCUCGAUGGCAACAAUGCAAUACGUGCCUUGCAACCCCUAUUGUCACUGGGUAAGGACACCACAAGAUUGAACCCAAAGCUAAGCACUUCUCCCAUGGCAAGAAAGAUCAAUCUAGUAGGCCAAACCAAACCGAUAAUUCGAAGAGACUUGCAAAGAUAAGUCAAUCAUACAUAAAAGAAUUCAGAAGAGAUUCAAAUAUUUCUCAUAGAUAAACUUGAUCAUAAACCCACAAUUCAUCGGAUCUCGACAAACACACCGCAAAAAGAGUUACAUCUAUUAGAUCUUCACAAGAGAGGGGGGGAACAUGGUAUUGAGAUCCAAAAAGAGAGAACAAGCCAUCUAGCUAAUAACUAUGGACCCGAAGGUCUGUGGUAAACUACUCACAACUCAUUGGAAGGGCCAUGGUGUUGAUGUAGAAGCCCUCCAUGGUCGAUUCCCCCUCUAGCGGAGCGCCGGUGAAGGCUCCAAGAUGGGAUCUCGCGGAUACAUAAGGUUACAACGGUGGAAAUUGUGUUUCGGUUGCUCCAUGGAUGUUUUCGGGGUACGUGGGUAUAUAUAGGAGGAAGAAGUACGUCGGUGGCUGCCCGAGGGGCCCACAAGCUAGGGGGUGCGCCCUAUAGGGGUGGGCGCGCCCUCCACCCUCGUGGCCGCCUCGGCUGCUUCUUGGCAUGCACUCCAAGUCCUCUGGAUCACAUUUGUUCCAAAAAUCACGCUCCCGAAGGUUUCAUUCCGUUUGAACUCUGUUUGAUAUUCCUUUUCUUCGAAAUAAUAAAAUAGGCAAAAAAAUAGCAAUACGGGUUGGGCCUCCGGUUAGUAGGUUAGUCCCAAAAAUGAUACAAAUGUGUAAAAUAAAGCCCAUAAAUAUCCAAAACAGGUAAUAUAAUAGCAUGGAACAAUCAAAAAUUAUAGAUACGUUGGAGACGUAUCACUUCUAUCGUGGCGGCUACUCCUCAGGCCGCAGAAAUUGCCGAGCUCAAUCGGAAGCUUCGGCUAUCUGAUGAGGAACUCGACCGCAUCAACAAGCGAUUCAACGAAACCCAAGGUACGUGGUAUUAAGGCACAUUCGAAAAUUAUAUGUGUGUUAGUCUUCUUAAACUGACUAAAAAAAUUGAUAAAUAUACUCGCAGUUGGCGCAGCCGAGGUCGAGUCCCUCAGGAGCGCCCUGGCCGAAGCCAAGAAGGAGGCGGAGGUGCGCAAGGCGGCCACGGACAAAGCGACCAAGGAUUUGGAUGUGUACUCAAGCCACCCGCCGCAGACAUGAGGCGUGGGUGGGGGAGGUCGAACAGGAGCUCAAGGACGCCAUCGCCAAGUGCGAGUCCUUGGAGCAAAAGAGUUCAGAACAGGCCUCCGAGCUCACCAAAGCUCUUGAGAGCAUGAAGGAUGCCCGGGUUGAUGCCCAGGGCGCUCGCGAGGACAUCCAGGAGGCAAGGCAUAUUGCGGUUGGUAAGGCCUUUAUCAUGCAGAGUAGAUUUACUAGCAAGAGAUAUAUUUUACUGACCCAAGUUUGGAGUUCUCCAGGCGCCUUUGCGGAUCCACUGAGGAGUAUUGCGGAUGCCGCCGCAUUCUUCCGAGCCGAAUAGGGAGCUCAAUGGAGAAGUUGUUCUGGUCGCAAUACCUUGUGCCAUAAGUUCCAGUGCCCUUGAGUGACCAGCUGAAGCAGUUGUCCGAGCUGCACAGGGUGGCCGGACUGGCCAUGAAGGAUGUAAUAGUCCGUCUGUGGUGAGCCGAGGCCAUACCAAGCAGCCACUUCGGCCCCGUGAAGCGGCUGGUGGAAGAGCUUCCUCGGAUCGAUGCCCUCAAGCGGUCGCCCUGCCUUGAAGGUGCCCUGAUGGCCUUCGCCCGCGUCAAGGUGCAGUGGGCGAAGAUGAAGGCCACCGAGAUUGCCACAGUAGGGCCACCUGAAGGCAAGGAGCACUGGCGACCGGAGAGGUACUUUGACGAGGUCCUCGAAGGAGCCUGCAUUGUGGAGGGCCAGUGCUCAAAGGACGUCGUGUUUGAGUAGUUGAGUCUGGCUUGUAGAGUUGUGUAAUGAACUCAUGAUGUAUAAUAGUUAUGCUUACACUUUAUGAUUAGUUUAUCCUCCUAUUCUGUUGUUUAUAUGUCUGAAAGUAUACCAGUCGUCGGCUUCAGCCCCCACGUAAAUAUUAUAGGGGUGUUCGGAAACGCAUGAUCGCACUUUAUCCAACGUCUUCGUCCAAUGUAGGAGGCGGCUUCUGAGGUGAACUAGGUAAUCAGACUAUACGGCUUUAGUACUUUCACUUAGCCAUAAGAGUCCAUUGGUGGUGCUAAAUACUAGUCACUUGUUGCGUGAACGACAAUCCGGAGUACGGCGCCUUUGCAACGUGGCUGGUCGAAAGCCCAGCCCCUUGUAUAACACGGCAUAAAUUGCGAACGAUUUGUAGUAUAACUCUAAGUCACCGGACUGCUGACCCGCUCUCACCUAUCAUGACUGUCAGUUUUUGGCUUUCUCUACUGAGGUACUUAACCGGACGAACCAGAAAUACAAUCGCAGUAGUUCUCCCUUAUUACCUUAGCCGAACUUGCGGAACGUAAGGUGGCAAACACAGGAGCCGGGCAACCCAACUAUAUACCAAAGACAUGAUUCGGAGCCGAUGCAUGUAAUGCAAUAUCCGGGACGCCGAAGAGUUCCCUAUAGGUGUUCGGACUUAAGAAUUUUACGGGGCUGAAUACAGCCCCUGGUAUGAAGGCCGUGCCGAAUCACAUAUGUAAGUAGAACGUAAGGAAGAACACAGAUGACAAGGUAAUACCAGGAUCCAACCAAGAAGGUGAUAAUCAUCUGCUUCCUUUAUAUCUUUAUUGAUACGUCGAUGACAUACAAUGUUGUUCAAUGUUAAGGUCAGAUUACAUGCCCAAAGAGAAAAAGGAAAGGUUUUACAUAAGGGAAAGUCCAACACAGGGCCUAAGAUCAUAGUUCGAAAAAGAAACUCCAGUGAUGCCCUGCCGCACGUUUGCACCAUUUCCCUUAGUGAUUAGUCCUUUGAUAGGUGUGUUGAAUGGUUGGGAAACGCUAGCCUUAAAAGGAUCUCCUACAACAACCAUCUAUCUAGUAGGGCUCUUGAUGAACCUGUAGUAAGAGGAAAAAGAUAUAUGUGCGGUCCAGAUAGGGUCAAGUUGUACGAUAGACCUUUUCCGCAGUGUGCCUCCAGCGCCGCCCAAGGUAUUUUUAGUGCAUAGUUAUGUACGCGCAUUACGCAAGCCGCAACCUGGUAGGGCAAUCGGCAGAGGCUGAAAUGCUAGUCAAGGUCCAGAUCCGUUGAUUUAUUGCUAUUAGGCAUGCACCGGACUCAUUUGGAUACGUCGCUGGCUUUAUUGGCCAGUGAACUGUUCGGCUUGAUAAGGUCGCCAUAUACUUUGGCUGCAAGGGCCGCGGUGUGCUCUUCAGUAUGGAGUGAGCGUUCCAUAUUACCAUUGACUGUAAUAACACCACGAGGUCCAGGCAUUUUGAGAUUCAAGUAAGCAUGGUGCGGGACUGCAUUGAAGCGGGCGAAAGCGGUUCGUCCGAGCAGUGCGUGAUAGCCACUGCGGAAAGGGACGAUAUCGAAGACUAACUCCUCACUGCAAAAGUUGUCUGGGGAGCCGAAUACUCCUGGUAUCACACCUUUAAAGGUAGUGUUACUAGGCUUGAUUCUUGAUGGGUCAAUACCCAUCUUACGGACAGUAUCUUCAUAAAUCAAGUUGAGACUGCUCCUCCAUCCAUGAGGACUCUUGUGAGGUGGUAUCCAUCAAUAAUUGGAUCAAGAACCAGGGCGUCCGAACCCCCAUGACGGAUACUGGUUGGGUGAUCCCUGCGAUCAAAGGUGAUCGGACAGGCUGACCAUGGGUUAAACUUGGGGGUGACAUGCUCUAUAGCAUAGACGUCCCAUAGUGCGCGCUUGCGCUCCCUUUUGCGGACAUGAGUGACAUAUAUCAUGUUCACUGUCUUCACCUCGGGGGGAAACUGCUUCUGACCCCCGGUGUUUCACUGAAGGGGCUCGUCAUCGUCUUUGCUUGGAGGCCCUUUUCCUUUGUGUUCGGUAUUUAUUUUACCGGCAUGUUUGAAAACCCAACAAUUCCUAUUCGUGUGGUUCGCAGGCUUAUCAGGUGUGCCAUGAUUCUGACAGGGCCUCUGAGGAUUUGAUCAAAGCUGGAUGGCCCGUCCUUGUUGCCGUUGAAAGGUUUCUUCCACUAACCGGGCUUAGGACCGCUGAAUCCGGCAUUUACUGAUGUAUCGUCUGCGUCAUCACUGUUAUUGUUUCGAUGUUUGUUUUUAUUUCGGCGAGGUUUACCAUUGUCGUCCCUCACCUCAGAAGUGUCGGGGUCCCCCCGAGCUAUUGCUUCUACGAGCCAACCAGUUGUCUUCACCCGCAUAGAAGCGGGUCAUAAGUGCAGUUAGAGCUGCCAUGGUCUUGGCUUUUCCUGCCUAAGGUGUCGGGCGAGCCAUUCGUCACGAAUGCUGUGUUUGAAGGCCGCUAAGGCUUCGGCAUCCAAAUAGUCUACGAUCUGGUUCUUUUUGGUUAAGAACCGAUUCCAAAGCUUGCGAGCUGAUUCGCCUGGCUGGUGAAUUAUGUGGCUCAAGUCGUCAGCAUCUGGUGGCCGGACAUAAGUGCCCAGAAAAUUGGCCCGAAAAGCAUCUUCCAAGUCCUCCCAGGUUCCAAAGGAGUUUUCUGGGAGGCUGUUUAGCCAGUGUCGUGCUGGUCCUUUCAGCUUUAGAGGAAGACAUUUAAUGACAUGGAGAUCGUCUCCUCGAGCCAUGUGGAUGUGGAGAAGAAAAUCUUCAAUUCAAACGGUCGGAUCCGUCGUUCCAUCGUGCUGUUCGAAAUUUACGGGUUUAAACCCUUCUGGAAAUUGGUGUUCCAUGACCUCAUCAGUGAAGCAUAAAGGGUGUGCGGUCCCUCUAUAUCAUGCAAUAUCAUGGCGGAGAUCAGCUGACAUCUGAGUUCGGUUCUGAUCUCGAUUAUAGUAAUUGUCAUCAUGCCGGGCUUCAUAGCAGUUGUCUCGAGCCGGGGCACGGGCCCUUGAUCCGUAGAUUGAUCUAGUCUGACCAGCUUUAUUGACAAGGUCACGUUGCAAGUCAUAUGUGUAUCCCGCAGCUGUUGUCUCCCAGCCUCUUCGGCGAGGGGGUGCAGGUUGGUGUUCGGCUUGAUAUGCCGCUUUAUCCCGUCCAUGUGGUGGUCGGUCUGGUUGGUCUGCCUGAUUGUAUUUCGAUGGUAUUGGCUCAAGGGCUUCGUCGUCGAAUUGUGGUAGCAGCUUGCACUUAGGGUAAACUUUGGCAGGUCGUUCGCGGCUGUAUUCAUCAGCGGUCAGGACCUUAGUCCACCUUUCAUUAAGUGUAUCCUGCUCGGCUUUGAGCUCCGUUGUUUGUUUUUCGGGCUCCAAGCUGUGGCGAUGAGCUAUUACUUAAUGUGUUCUUGAUCGAGGGGUACCUCUGGGACGAUAAAAUCUUCAUCGCCGAGGCUAACCUCCUCUUCGGUUUCUGGAAUAUAGUUGCUAUCUUCCGAAUCUUCGUGAUUAGCGUUCCCCAUACUAUAUUCACACUCUUCCCUUUUUGUCCAGUUCGGAUAUAGGCUCGACGGGGUGUUCAUGUCACGCCCAAUAUGUGACCCUAUCCUAAAGGAACUCGAAGGUCCCACCAAGGAUAGAAGUGCAUAUUGGAGACGCUUUGGCAAGGUGGAUAUUAUUACAUCAUGCCAUUACAUAAUAGUUGGGGAUACAUACAAGAGGCAUACAAUGCCACAUGAAUACAACAACCUCGUACAUAAGAGUAACAUCCGACUACGGAUGAAACACAAACAGAAACUCAAACAACAUCCACCCUGCUAGCCUAGGCUGCCGACCUGGAACCUAUCCCCUGAUCGAAGAAGAAGCAGAAGACAAAACUCCAAACAAACAAGCACUGCUCUCACAUCAUGAUCAUCGCAUUACAUGUACCUGCAACUGUUGUUAUAGUAAAUUGUGAGCUACGAGGACUCAGCAAUCCUGUUACCAUGGGUAUCAAGACUAGCAAAGCUUAAUAGGUAUGGAAAGAACAAGUGGUGAGGUUGCAGCAAUGACUAAGCAUGAUAUAGUGGCUAACUUACGAAUACAAGAAUAAGAUGAGAAGCUACGCAAACGGUCGCAACUAGUAAUGAUCAAGAAGUGAUCCUGAAACUACUUACAUCCAAACAUAACCCAAACCGUGUUCAUUUCCCGGACUCCGCCGAGCAGAGACCAUCACGGCUACACACGCGGUUGAUGCGUUUUAAUUAAGUCAAGUGUCAAGUUCUCUACAACGGGAUAUCAACAAAUUCCCAUCUGCCACAUAACUGCGUGCACGGGUCUCGAAAGUUUAUACCUUGCAGGGGUGUCCCAACUUAGCCCAUUAUAAGCUCUCAUGACCAAUGAAGGAUAUUCCUUCUCCCGGGAAGACCCGGUCAGCCUCGGAAUCCCGGUUACAAGACGUUUCGGCAAUGGUAAAACAAGACCAACAAGACCUCCCGAUGUGCCAACAAAUCCCAAUAGGAGCCAGACAUAUCUCGUUCUCAGGGCACCACAGAUGAGUGAAGCUACGAGUAAAACCAGCCCUCAAGUUUCCCUGAGGUGGCUCCGCAGGUGGCUCGGUUCAGACCAACACUUAGAGAAGCACUGGCCUGGGGGGUUAAAAUAAAGAUGACGCUUGGGGCUGUUUACCCCAAGGGAGGGUUAUAGGUUGUUAGGCAAAUGGAAAACCAAUGUAGGGCCUUGCUGCAGGAGUUUUAUUGAAAUCGAACUGUCAAGGGGUUCCCAUAAACCCAGCCGCGCAAGUAACGCAAAAUCAAGGAACAUAACACCGGUAUGACGAAAACUAAGGCGGCAAGAGUGGAACAUAACACCAGGCAAAAGGCCAAGCUUUUCACCCUUUACCAAGUAUAUAGAUGCAUUAAUUAAAAUAAGAGAUAUUGUGAUAUCCCAACAUAAUCUCGUUCCAACAUGGAGCAAUCUUCAACUUCACCUACAACUAACAACGCUAUAAGAGGGGCUGAGCAAAAGCGGUAACUUGGCCAAACAACGGUUUGCUAGGAAGGGUGAAAAGGUUAGAGGCUGACAUGGCAAUUUGGGAGGCUUGAUAAACAAGUGAUAGGUAGCAUAGCAUAGCGAUAGAACGAAGCAACUAGCAUAGCAAUGAUAGUAGUGAGAUCCAGGGUAACGGUCAUUUUGCCUGAAAUCGCGCUAGGAAGAAGAACGAGUCUAUGAAUAAGACGAACGGGCGAAGACGAACCAAGCUUAGACGAACGAAUCUUCGCGAUCGCAACGAAACAGGAACUAUCAAGAAGAAGCACAACCGGAAAUAAGCAAACAAUAUGGUAAACACACAACACAUAAACAUGACAUGAUGCUCAACCAAGUAUGAUGCAUGACAAGGCUAUAUGAUGCUACUCAUGGCAAGAGAUGAUGCAUACAAGAACAACACAUCAAAGCAAGAUUAAAUGAGACCUGAAACAACAUAUAACAAAUCCGGUAAGUCCUCAUAUGCUAAUUCCGAAAAUGGUCCAGAUUUGAAUAAACCUUAUGUUCAAGUUGUUAAACAGCAAUUUAAGAUGCACCAAGAAGAUCAUCAUGAAAUUCUAGUCAAGUUACGUAUAAAGUUCAUUUAGUUCAGAGCUACGGCCUAGAAGAUAUGAGCAAAACAAGUUAAACAUGGCAUUGAUGCAAAAUGCAUUCAAACAUCAAGCAAACACUCUGAAAACAAGGAUUCAACAUGACAUGACAAAACUAUAUGCAAUUCUAAGCAAGUUUCAUAUAGAGCAUGCUCAAAACGGAGCAACGGUGCAACACAUACACUCCAAACAAGAUCUAACAACAAUCUGCCUAAAACAACAAGUUGACACUUUACAAACUUCAAAACAACAUGCUACAGGAAUCAUAAGAGAACAAACUUGACAAGCACUUCAUUUACAGAUAACAUUCUUCAAAUAUCAUUCAAGUUCAGGUUUAAAGGCAUCAAUAUUAAACCAAUAUGAUCAAUGCAAAAAGCAACUUUAUAACACAGGAGCAUAUACAUGACGAGAUAUAAUAUGAUGGCAACUUGAGAGCAAGAAAGAGACAAAUUACAGCAAGUAAACAUAGCAACCAAAGGCAUUGCAUCAAAGUGUACACAACAAAUAGAAAAUAACAUGAUGGCAUCAUAUAAAUAUGGCACAUGGAUUAAAAGUAACCAACAUGACAAGAUUGAAUGUUAACACAGUUUCAGCAAGUGUAAAACAACAACAUUAUGAUAGCAUGUUUGCAAGCAUGAAACAGAGGCAUAUGACAUCCAAAAUUAGCAAAUAUGGCAUCUGAACAAAGUAAUCAUAGCAUACUUCAAAACAUCUAAUUGGAGCAUCUAAAAAGAGGCACGGAUUAAUUAAUAUCAAGCUCACAACAUAGCAUCAUGAAGUUAACAGAAAUCUAGAACAUUAUAUAGGCAUGUUCAUGGCAACGGAAACAUGUGCUAAAGAACAUAUAUAAGGCAUCAAAAGGCAUGCAAAUAUAGAGCAUAACAUGUACAUCAAAACAUGUCAACUAAGCAUCUCCAGAUUGUGCAUGUAUUAAUUGGUAGCAUCAAGAAACAUCGUGAUAUUACAGAUUCAGCAUUGACAGAACAUUAAUAGCCAGUAGUCCACUUCACAAGCUUGAUGCACUCACUACAAGUAAUAUCAAAAUAAUGAUUACACCACCAUAAGUAUGGCAUAAUUAUGCUCCUAAAACAUGUAGAUAUGAUGCUCAAAAGAAAAUCACACAAAAUGAUAUAAAAAUGACUAGGCAAGAUACAACAGUUUUCAGGAGUUAACAGCAACAUGCACGUUUGCAACAGGUAUUCAGAUAUCAAGAUGUACCCUAACAUGAAUGCAACAGCAACCAACAUGUAGAUAAUGAAGAGCAGAAUAUGUGCAUGUUAAGAUCAUCAUCAUAGGAUCAACAGGCACAAUGUUAUAGCACUCACAAGACUCAUACAUGAUGUUAACAAUUAGCAGAUUCCAUCAGUUAUAUUACUCAGUAGUUUUUCAACGAGGAUUAAGGUAUCAAUAUGAACAGGAACAUGAAUGCAAACUACUCCAUCAUGAAGAGCAUCAAGUGAUGAAAAUUUCGAUAUAUCAUGCACCCAAAACAGAGCUAUAUGCAUGAAGUUAUGGUCAUGCAAACAUGUGCACAUGAGGUUUAAAAUCCUCGGACUUGGUGGAAAUUUCACCUUGUGGGAUCGGGACGGAGAGAUCCCGCGACGGAGCGGAGCGGGACGGGGAAGAGCGUUUGGUUGGGGGGCUAGUGGAUCUCAUCCACCUCCCAUCACCCGGCGCUGGCGAGGACUCUGGUGAGCACCUCCGGCGAGGGUCGAGGAAAACCGGAGGAGGCCUGAUCCGACGGCUCCUAGCCGGAUCGGGCCGUAGGCGACACGGUGGCGGCAUGGGAUGGAGGCAAGGCACAGCGUGGGGCGGUGCAGGGCUCACGCCUGUGAACGGCGCGGCUGGCGGCUUCGGGCGCGGGGCGGCGAUGCAGGGCCGGGCAGUGCAGUGGCGCACCAGUAGCGGAGCGGGCUGGCGGCGGUGGUGCGAAGGCGGCGGCGGCGGGCGCUGGACGGGAGGCGUGGCUCGNNNNNNNNNNNNNNNNNNNNNNNNNNNNNNNNNNNNNNNNNNNNNNNNNNNNNNNNNNNNNNNNNNNNNNNNNNNNNNNNNNNNNNNNNNNNNNNNNNNNNNNNNNNNNNNNNNNNNNNNNNNNNNNNNNNNNNNNNNNNNNNNNNNNNNNNNNNNNNNNNNNNNNNNNNNNNNNNNNNNNNNNNNNNNNNNNNNNNNNNNNNNNNNNNNNNNNNNNNNNNNNNNNNNNNNNNNNNNNNNNNNNNNNNNNNNNNNNNNNNCCAAUUGCGGCCCGUGGCGGGCUCCCCAUGGGUUCGCAGACCACGGCGGCGGGAAGGAGAGAGAGGAGGCGCGGGGCUGACGUGGCGGGACGCGGUUGGCUGCGGGCAUGGCGGCGGACAUGUCUGGCGGCGGGGAGACUUGUUCAGUGGCGCGGAGGGGAAGAAGACUAGGGUUUCGCCCGAAAAAUGGAGAGAGGGCACUUAUUUAUAGGUAGAGGGAGCUAGGAGAGUCCAAAUGAGGUGCGUUUUUUGCUCACACGAUCGUGAUCCAACGACGGAGAGCAUGAAGGGGGUUUGGAUGGGCUAGUGGGCUGUUGUGGAGGGGUGCUGGGCUGCAAAGAGAGAGGGGUUUUGGUUAACUCGGUUAACCGUUGGGGCAUCAAACGACCUCCAAAUGGAAUGAAAUUUGACAGGCGACCUACCGGUGAUAUACCAAUGCCACUCGGCAAAUCUCGGCCCAUUCCGAGAAUGUUUUUCUCCCGCUCACGAAACAAGAUAAGAGGGGGGCUGUGGGUGCAUGUGGGAGUGUCGGGUGACAAAACGGACAAAGGAGAAAGACACCGGAUGCAAGUUUUGAAAAACAUGCAGAUGAUGACAUGGCAAGAUGCAACAUGCAAGCGAGUGACAUGGCAACAACUACGAAUAACUAGAAGACACCUAGCGCAUCGGAUCUAGGGGCGUUACAACUCUCCUCCAGUAACAAGAGAUCUCGUCCCGAGAUCUUAGGAACGAGAUGGAAGAGAAAGAGGAAGAGGUGAAGUAAGAACGCAAGAGAGAAGAUGAACAAAGUUCGAGAGUGUUCGGGUAGAAAAGAGGAAUGCCGAGUAUGAUGAGGAUCAAAAGCUCAAUAACCAAGAUAGACUCUGAAACCACUCCGGUUAGAAUAAGAUAGGAAAGGAAUAAGAACAUAAGAAUUUGGGCAGCACUUCAACUGGAAAUAUAAGGAAUGGAGACAAGAACUUCACAAGAUGGAAUGACACUUGAUGAGAGCCACAACACAAUGCCUCUCGAAGAAUUGAAAUAAUGGAAUGAAAAGAAUGGUUGAAAGAACAACAACUUUCACCAUUAAUGAAUUUGAUAGCAUCCUUAGAGGAAGGGUUGAACGGAGUUGUUGAGGUAUUCAACAACAAAAGAAUAAGCUUGUUGUGGACUUAUCAAAAACAACUCAAAACAUGAGGUGAAAUUAUACCACAACCAAAAGUCUGAAUAGCUGAGAGGAACGAAGAAAUCCAAAACUCCACUUCAGAAGAAAAUGGAGUAUUAUUUGCACUUCCAGACGCGAGAAGAAAAGAUAAUUGAACUCCUCCAACAAAAUUCUUGAUGAACUCUUGAAGAAUGAAUUAAAUCAUGAAGAACUCCAGUGACAAAAGGAUGAUGAGAUAGAAUAAAGGAUGAAAGAAUAAGAUCAAGCCUUGCAGUGAUUUAGAUGGAGGUUCCGACGGGACAUCCGAGGAAAUUUGAACUCCGGAAAAGAGAAGAUGAAAACACUUGGAACUAGAAUUUAUUCAUCACGAACAAACUCCGAAGGAUGGAAUUAAUCAUUUGGAGGAAAUAAGAAUAAGAUUUAUUCUAUGCUUAUCCUUCAUCAAAUUAAAUUGAUGGCAAGCAAUGGAUUUUUCAUACUACUUAUUCUUAUUGGAAAAGGAUUAAGGCGGAUAUAGCACAACCUUGAGGAAGGCCUUCAAUGAACCACUGGUAGGAUUGGAAAGAACAAAUGGAUUAAAAUGAUAAUCAAGGAAAAAGAAUCUUCAACGAACCACCGUAAGAAUUCGAAAAUGAAUGAUGAAAGAGAAUGAAUCACCGGGAAGAAUUAGAAGACCAAAUAUGCUUUGAGGGGAUUUAGAUGCAAAAGAACAAAGAGAUAACAAGCUGAUUAAAGAAUACUUCACAGAUGUGCUGGGAUAAUUGGAUAACGAUAGAUGGAAUGUGAGGACGAAGAAUUCUUCUGGAAUGAUGGCCUCCAGUGAAAAGAAAUAGAAAAACAACUCCUGACAUACUCCGGAUGGAUAAGAAAGAAUAACUGACAAAAGGAAUAAUUCAAGAGGAUAGCAUGAAAAUAGAAUUGCGAAUCUUCGGGAGAACGGAUAAGAUUUAAGAGAAACUCAUCUUCGAUCUUCAAAUAACAAUGAGAAACACCACCAAAAUUACUGAGAUACUCCGGAGAAUGAAAAGAGGAAGGGUUGAACCAAAGAUGAAAAGAAUUUGACCGCGAUCAGGAGAAGGCAUGUGACUGAUGGAAUCCAUUGUUACAUCACACUCGAAAAGAAUUAGGAAUGGCUCCGGAAUAGUUAGAAGAGUCGGGUAAGAUCCUGGGAAAAAACCCGUGGGUUAGGGCCCACUGAAGAGAAAACACCAUUGGAGAGGAUUGUUGAAGAGAUAUAUGAUGCACCGGAACAAUAGAAAUAUUUGAAUGAGGUGAUAAUCUCAAAUUUAUUCGAACACAUACGAAUCUCCUGAGAUGUCUUACAAACUCCAAAAUGCUUAAAUGGCGAGAGGCGAACGAGCAAGGGCAAAACAUUUGAGCCAAGGAAAAGAAUAUGAUCAACACCAAAUACUUGCAUUGAGUCCACCGGAAAAGAAAGAGAUGAAGAAUGAUGAACUAUACAAGAAAUCAGCGGUUGAAACAAUUGACGAUAGUCUGAAGAGGCUCCACAUGAAUGAAAUUGAUGCUCGAAAUAGACUCAUGCUCCAGGAAGAAGAGGGUGNNNNNNNNNNNNNNNNNNNNNNNNNNNNNNNNNNNNNNNNNNNNNNNNNNNNNNNNNNNNNNNNNNNNNNNNNNNNNNNNNNNNNNNNNNNNNNNNNNNNNNNNNNNNNNNNNNNNNNNNNNNNNNNNNNNNNNNNNNNNNNNNNNNNNNNNNNNNNNNNNNNNNNNNNNNNNNNNNNNNNNNNNNNNNNNNNNNNNNNNNNNNNNNNNNNNNNNNNNNNNNNNNNNNNNNNNNNNNNNNNNNNNNNNNNNNNNNNNNNNNNNNNNNNNNNNNNNNNNNNNNNNNNNNNNNNNNNNNNNNNNNNNNNNNNNNNNNNNNNNNNNNNNNNNNNNNNNNNNNNNNNNNNNNNNNNNNNNNNNNNNNNNNNNNNNNNNNNNNNNNNNNNNNNNNNNACAAAGGUAAGUUGGAAGGAGGGACCGAUGAAUAACUUGAAGAGAAAACACCGGUUGAAAGAAUGCAAAGGCUUCGCACAAGUAGGAUGGGUACUCGAUUACGGACUCCGGCUCCGAGAAGAAAAAGGGUGGGCGGGUGGGAAAAGAAAACAAAUGAGGAUUGAUCUUGCAAAAAAACAAAGAGGGUCGAAUCGACUUGAUGAGAGACGCACCGGAUGAAAAGACCUGAGAACCAACGAACGAAAAACUAACUGCGUGAUCCUAAACAAAAAUUUAAAGGGAAGAGGAGUAAGUCACAACAACUACAUCAAGAUUCCUCACCAGAGCGACGAAGGGGCCGAGGAGUAAAAAGAAUUCCUACUCUCCGAUAUAACUAGACUCCAAAAACAGUUUUCUUCUAGACUCGAUAACGGCCAAACUACGAACAAUCAAGGGGGCUCCUAUGGUCGGUCGAGGCUCUGAUACCAACUUGUCAUGCCCAAUAUGCAACCCUAUCCUAAAGGAACUCGAAGGUCCCACCAAGGAUAGAAGCACAUAUUGGAGACACUUUUGCAAGGUGGAUAUCAUUAAAUUGUACCAUUACAUAAUAGUUGGGGAUACAUACAAGAGGCAUACAAUGCCACAUGAAUACAACAACCUCAUACAUCAGAGUAACAUCCGACUACGGAUGAAACACAAACAGAAACUCAAACGACAUUCACCCUACUAGCCCAGGCUGCCGACCUAGAACCUAUCCCCUGAUCAAAGAAGAAGUAGAAGAAGAAAAUCCAAACAAACAAGCAUCGCUCUCACGUCAUGAUCAUCGCAUUACCUGUACCUGCAACUGUUGUUGUAGUAAACUGUGAGCCACGAGGACUCAGCAAUCCCAUUACCAUGGGUAUCAAGACUAGCAAAGCUUAAUAGGUAUGGAAAGGACAAGUGGUGAGGUUGUAGCAGUGACUAAGCAUGAUAUGGUGGCUAACUUACGAAUACAAGAAUAAGAUGAGAAGCUACGCAAACGGUCGCAACUAGUAAUGAUCAAGAAGUGAUCCUAAAACUACUUACGUCCAAACAUAACCCAAACCGUGUUCACUUCCCGGACUCCGCCCAGAAGAGACCAUCACGGCUACACACGUGGUUGAUGUGUUUUAAUUAAGUCAAGUGUCAAGUUCUCUACAACGAGAUAUCAACAAAUUCCGAUCUGCCACAUAACUGCGGGCACGGCUCUCAAAAGUUUAUACCCUGUAGGGGUGUCCCAACUUAGCCCAUUAUAAGCUCUCACGACCAAUGAAGGAUAUUCCUUCUCCCGGGAAGACCUGAUCAGCCUCGAAAUCCCAGUUACAAGACAUUUCGGCAAUGGUAAAACAAGACCAGCAAGACCUCCUGGUGUGCCGACAAAUCCCGAUAGGAUCCGGACGUAUCUUGUUCUGAGGGCACCACAGAUGAGUCAAGCUACGAGUAAAACUAGCCCUCAAGUUCCCCCGAUGUGGCCCCGCAGGUUGCUUGGUUCAGACGAACACUUAGAGAAGCACUGGCCUGGGGGGUUAAAAUAAAGAUGACCCUCGGGGCUGCAGACCCCAAGGGAGGGUUAUAGGUUGUUAGGCAAAUGGAAAACCAAUGUAGGGCCUUGCUGGAGGAGUUUUAUUCAAAUCGAACAGUCAAGGGGUUCCCAUAAACCCAGCGGCGUAAGGAACACAAAAUCAAGGAACAUAACACUGGUAUGACGGAAACUAAGGCGGCAAGAGUGGAACAAAACACCAGGCAAAAGGCCGAGCUUUCCACCCUUUACCAAGUAUAUAGAUGCAUUAAUUAAAAUAAGAGAUAUUGUGAUAUCCCAACAUAAUCUUGUUCCAACAUGGAGCAAUCUUCAACUUCACCUGCAACUAACAACGCUAUAAGAGAGGCUGAGCAAAAGCAGUAACUUGGCCAAACAACGGUUUGCUAGGAAGGGUGAAAAGGUUAGAGGCUCACAUGGAAAUUUGGGAGGCUUGAUAAACAAGUGAUAGGUAGCACAGCAUAGCGAUAGAACGAAGCAACUAGCAUAGCAAUGAUAGUAGUGCGAUCCAGGAUAACGGUCAUCUUGCUUGAAAUUCCGCUAGGAAGAAGAACGAGUCCAUGAAGAAGAUGAACCAAGCGUAGACGAACGAAUCCUCAUGAUCGCAACGAAACAGGAACUAUCAUGAAGAAGCACAACCGGAAAGAAGCAAACAAUAUGGUAAACACACAACACAUAAACAUGACAUGAUGCUCAACCAAGUAUGAUGCAUGACAAGGCUAUAUGAUGCUACUCAUGGCAAGAGAUGAUGCAUACAAGAACAACACAUCAAAGCAAGAUUAAAUGAGGUCGGAAACAACAUAUAACAAAUCCGGUAAGUCCUCAUAUGCUAAUUUCGAAAAUGGUCCAGAUCUGAAUAAACCUUAUGUUCAAGUUGUUAAAUAGCAAGUUAAGAUGCACCAAGAAGAUCUACAUGAAAUUCUUGUCAAGUUACAUAUAAUGUUCAUUUAGUUCGAGCUACAGCCUAGAAGAUAUGAGCAAAACAAGUUAAACGUGGCAUUGAUGCAAAAUGCAUUCAAACAUCAAGCAAUCACUCUCAAAACAAGGAUUCAACAUGACAUGGUGAAACUACAUGCACUUCUAAGCAAGUUUCAUAUCGAGCAUGCUUACAACGGAGCAACGGUGCAACACAUACACUCCAAACAAGAUCUAACAACAAUCUACCCAAAACAGCAAGUUGGCACUUUACAAACAUCAAAACAACAUGCUACAGGAAUCAUAAGAGCACAAACUUGACAAGCACUUCAUUUACAGAUAACAUUCUUCAAAUAUCAUUCAGGUUCAAUUUCAAAGGCAUCAAGAUUACACCAAUAUGAUCAAUGCAAAAAGCAACUUUAUAACAUUGGAGCAUAUACAUGAGCAGAGAUAAUAUGAUGGCAACUUGGGAGCAAGAAAGAGACAAGCUACAACAAGUAAACAUAGCAACCAAAGAAAUUGCAUCAAAUUACACACAACAAAGAGAAAAUAACAUCAUGUCAUCAUAUACAUAUGGCCCAUGGAUUAAUAGGAACCAACAUGACAAGAUUGAAUUGUAAAACAGUUUCAGCGAGUGUAAAACAGCAACAUUAUGGUAGCAUGUUUGCAAAUAGAGGCAUAUGACAUCCAAAAUUAGCAAACAUGGCAUGUGAAUAAAGUACUCAUAGCAUACUUAAAAAUAUGUAGUUGGAGAAUCUCCAAAAGGGGCACGGAUUAAUUAAUAUCAAGCUACAUAGCAUUAUGAAGUUAACAGAAAUCUGGAACAUUAUAUAGGCAUGUUCAUGGCAACGCAAACAUGUGCUAAAAACAUAUAUAAGGCAUCAAAAGACAUGGCAUUAUAGAGCAUAACAUGUACAUCAAAACAUGUCAACUAAGAAUCUCCAGAUUGUGCAUGGAUUAAUUGGUAGCAUCAAGAAAACAUAGCAUCAUGAUAUUGCAGAUUAAGCAUUGACAGAACAUUCCAGCCAGUAGCCCACUUCACAAGCUUGAUUCACUCACUACAGGGCAUAUCAAAAUAUAUGAAUUGCACCACCUUAAAGAUGGUGUAAUUAUGAUCUUAAAACAUGUAGACAUAAUGCUCAAAAGAAAAUCACACUAAAAGAUAUAAAAAUGACAAAUAGGCAAGUUACAGCGGUUUUCAGCAGUUAACAGCAACAUGCACUUUUGCAACGGGGAUUAAUAUAUCAAUAUGCACCCUAACAUGAAUGCAACAGCAACCAACAUGUAGAUCAUGAAAAGCAGAACAUGUGCAUGUCCAGAUCAUCAUCUUAGGAUUAACAGGGACCAAGUUGUAGCACUCACAAGAUGCUUACAUGAUGUUAACAGUCAGCAGAUUCCAGCAGUUAUAUUACUUAUAGUUUUUCAAUGAGGAUUAAGGCAUCAAUAUGAACAGGAACUGGAAAGCAAACUACUCCAUCAUGAAGAGCAUCAAGUGAUGAACAUGUCGAUAUAUCAUGCAUGCAAAACAGAGCUAUAUGCAUGAAGUUAUGGUCAUGCAAAAAUGUGCACAUGAGGUUUAAAAUCCUGGGGACUUGGUGGAAAUUUCACCUCGCUGGAUCGGGAUGGAGAGAUCCCGGGACGGAGCGGAGCGGGACGAGGAAGUGCAUUUGGUUGGGAGGGGGGUUGGUGGAUCUCAUCCACCUCCCCUGACCCGGCACCGGCGAGGACUCCGGUGAGCACCUCCUGCGAGAAGGAGGCUGACGAGGGUCGAGGAAGAUCGGAGGAGGCCGGAUCCGGCAGCUCCUGGCCAUAUCGGGCCAGAGGCGACAAGGUGGCGGCAAUAGCACGCGGCGGAGCUUGGUGGCGCAGGACGGAGGUGAGGCGCAGCGCGGGGCGGCGCAGGGCUGGCGGCUGCGAAUGGUGUGGCUGGCAGCUUCAGGCGUGGGGUGGUGAUGCGGGGCCGGGCAGCGCGAUGGCGCAUCGGUGGCGGGGCGGGCUGGCGGCGGUGGCACGAAGGCGGCGGCGGCGGGCGCUAGACGGGAGGCGCGGCUCGGGAGGCGCGUAGGCUGGCGAGGCCGAGUUGCGGCACGGGGCGGGCUCCUCGUGGGCAUAACUGUCGACCUGCUAGAGAUAGCCGACCGAGUUGGCAUGAAGCACAAAGCCGCCAAACACAAAGACCUGUCUGGAGAGAAACGUUUCCCUGGACGCAGCAUUAUUGUCGAUGAAGAGGCGAGCCAUCGGUCCUUCUGUCGAUGAUAUAGCGGAACUCUCAAUGAAAGCACCAAUGUCGGUGUCAAAACCGGCUGACCUCGGGUAGUGGGGGGGGCAAGCUGUAUGUCUGAGGACCACUGGUAACUAUGGACAAAGGACACAGUGUUUACCCAGGUUCAGGCCCUCUUAAUGGAGGUAAAACCCUACUCCUACUUGAUUAUAUUCGAGUGUAUAGGGGUUACAAGAGUUGAUCUACCACAAGAUCGAGUUGUCUAACCCUAGAUUAGCUAGCCUAGCAAUGUUGUGAUCCUGCCUCCGAUCUACCCACCAGUUUAUAUAGACACCGAAGGGGCUUAGUGUUGUACAAAGUUGGUUUUACAGAAAGGAAUAAGAUAGCCGGACACCUAUACUUGCCAUCCACGCAUAGGGAGUCCCUACCGGACACGAGAGGUAAUCUUCUGUCUUGUAUCUUGACGGCCCAUCAGUCCGGCCCACGUCCAAUAGACCGGACGCCCGAGGACCCCAUAGUCCAGGACUUUCACACUCACGUCACCCGAACCUCGCGAGGUAAGCCUUGCAUAGAAAUCUCCGCUCCUCGGGAGCCAGCCUGAGGGGGUCGAUCCCCUUGGAGGUCUUGGUGUCGUCCGCCUUGUGAGGCAUGGCCCCUCGUGGGGGUCUUGAGUUGUUGAUGCCGAAACUGGCCCGUACCAGGCUGUCAAUGGAGCCACGCCGUGGGCCGCAGGCAUGCAAUUCUGGGUACCCCCGUAUCCAGAACGCCGACAGUAGCCCCUGGGCCCAAGGCGCGCUCGGACUUGGCUUCUGGGUGAAGCCAAAGGGCAAGUGCGGAGCGCCGCGGGCCCCAACCACGUGCGGCCUUGGACGAUGCGGUGAUUGAUGGGACAUGGGCGUCUCCACUUCCCCACACUACCUCAACAACCGUUCAACUUGAUGAGUCGAUGUUGCAUGCGGAGAAAACAUCAUUGUGCGAGAUCAUGGAGGCCGGCGGUUAGCCUCCCUCUGGCAAUAAAUGAGGGGAGGGGCGGAGCCCCCUCUCUCAUCUCUUUCGUCAUCUUCUCGCUGCUCGUCUCCUCUUCUUCUCCACUUUGUCGUAGUUGCGAGGCUCAUGGCGCCGGCGAGGAGGUUCUCGAUUGCUGAGAAAGGGAAGGCCCCUAAGGCGGGACCAGCUUUGCCACCACCCAAGAGGGGUCGCGGCCGUCCCCGCAAGCACGCCGCGACCCCGAUGGCAGGCCCCAAGGGGGCGCGGGUGCGCUUCUCCAGGAGCCAGCGUCUCCCUUAGCGUCCGCGGUGGUGCUUCUUCUCGCGGUGGGGGCCACUGGGCACGGGGCAGCCCCUGCGACAAGAGGAGGCCCGCUAUGGUCGCUCGCCCUCCUCGACCAUGCUUCUUCUUGAUGGAUGCGCUCCCGGAGUUCAUGGUGUGAUCGGAGAGGCCCGCCGGCACCUUGUUCUGGAUUCCGUGCUUCUUCGCCGGCGAGUUGCCGACCUAGGGGCUCGACGGCCUCUGGCUGCAGGCCGACGCUUGCUGCAGCAGGGCCUUGUGGGUAGGGAUCGAGGUCACUGCUGCGGGCAGCUUGGUCCUGACCUAUGGCUGGCUGGCGUUUGCCAGCGCAUAAGGCCUGAGCUGGGGGUGCUCUCUCCACUUCAAGUACGAUGGCCUUGCAACCCUCUUCGUGAGGGUGUUUAGGGGAGACAGCAGCGGGGCCGAUGAGCUUGGCCUUGACAUCGACCGCGCCGGCGACAAGGUGAGCUUGGCCUUGACGAUGUCCACACUUCCUCCCAUAGCUGCAGCUCUUCCUCGGGCGAGAAGUUAAGCACCGACGAGUACGACCAACCUCCGCACCGCCGAGCUCGCAUCAAAUAAGGCGGUGGAUCGUCUCGCCGCCACGCCCCGGUGAAGCAGGAGGAGGGCCCGAUCUGAGCUCAGGUCUGCCGAACUUGGCUUCAGGACCUGUUGCGGCCUUGCGGGUCGCUUUUGUUUAACCUUUCCUUCCUUCUGGGAUUUGAAAAACGUAGGUUGCCCCGCUGGGGUGUGUAAUGAACUAUGGCAGUUAUGCUCUUUAUGAAGUGCUUAUUAUCUUAAUGCUAUGUCAUGAUGUUUGUAUUCUAGGUAGGCAAGGGUAGGAUAACUUAGCUUGACAGGUUUGCGGCAGCUUCCCACCUCGCGGGGGCGCGACCCUUGAUGCUUGGCGGAGCCCCCCUUCCUGAUGACUCGGGGGCCACCGGUCUCGGGAGAUGCUGGAGGCCUCGGGAGAUGCCGUAGAGCUGCUGCAGAGCCGUUUAAAGGAAAAGAAACCUUAACGGGUACCUCAUUCUUCCUUGUGCGAGCCCCCUGCCAUAGGUUUCGCUCUGGCUUAAUGCACCGCGUCGCGCUGCCCGAGGGGCACGGACAUGAGAGGGCGCUGAUGCCCACGAGCUUGAUUGAGGGCUUCUCGCGAGGAUCAGAAAGCCGAAGCCCUGGGGCAACGGGGUUCGGCAAGGUGUGCUUGUGCGAGGGCGGACCCGUGCGCACACACCUGCCUAGCCCGCAUGCGGGGGGCGCGCGAGGAAGAGCAACGUGCAACUGCCGCCCUUUUCUGGCCCAGGCCAUGAAUGAGUGAAAUGAGAGGAAAGAAAAUCCAACUUGGCGAACCAAAACGCGAAAACUCCAAAUUCCAUUAAAAGAUUGUGAAACAACUUCGGAAAGCAAGCAAAUGAACAACCGCAUCUGGCACCUAGUCUAGUCUUCUCACCAGCGCGGAGAUAAGUGCUGCCACUAGGACGUGGGAGGGAGCCCCCGUGAGGCCCCAGGGCGGCGCUCAGGAGACUCCGGGGCUAGUACAUCCCCACUCAUUAUUACGUGAGAGUGUCACGAGCGGAGACCUUCACAGGCCGGAGCCUUGCUUCAUGGGUAGAACUUCUAGAGGUGCUGGAUGUUCCAGGUGUUUUGGAUGGGGAUCAUGUCUUGUGUCUACAGGCGCGCGGCGCCAGGCCUGGAGACACGGGCAAUCCUAAACAGGCCCUCCCACAUGGGAGAGAGCUUGUCCAGUCCUUUCCUAGAGAGCACCCGCCUCAGGAUGAGAUCACCCACCUCGAGCGUCCUGGGGCAGACAUUGCGGUAAUGGUACCGCCGCAGCACCUGCUGGUACCUUGCCGCUCGGAGCGAUGCUUGACGGCGGCAUUCCUCCCCCAGCAUGAGAUCCGUCCCCCGCAUGGCAUCCUGGCGUGCCUCGUCGAACGCCAUGACCCGCGUGGAGCGAUGCUUGACCUUGUGUGGGAGAACCACUUCAGCUCCGUAGAUGGCGAAGAACAGUGUCUCGCUCGUCAGCUUGGUCACGGUGGUGUGAUACGUCUCCAACGUAUCUACUUUUCCAAACACUUUUGCCCUUCUUUUGAACUCUAACUUGCAUAAUUUGAAUGAAACUAACCCAGACUGACGCUGUUUUCAGUAGAACUGCCAGGGUGUUAUUUUUGUGCAGAAACAAAAGUUCUCGGAAUGACCAGAAAAUCCACGAAGAUUAUUUUUGGAAAAUAUAAAAAAUAUUGGCGAAAGAAUCAAGACCAGGGGGGCCACACCCUGUCCACGAGGGUGGGGGCGCGCCCCCUCCCCCUGGGCGCGCCCCCUGCCUCGUGGGCCCCCUGGAUGUCCACCGACCUCAACUCCAACUCCAUAUAUUAUCUUUCCUGGAGAAAAAAAUCAGAGAGAACGUUUCAUCGCGUUUUACGACACGGAGCCAUCGCCAAGCCCUAAUCUCUCUCGGGAGGGCUGAUCUGCAGUCCUUUCGGGGCUCCGGAGAGGGGGAUUCGUCACCGUCGUCAUCAUCAACCAUCCUCCAUCACCAAUUUCAUGAUGUUCACCCUCGUGCAUGAGUAAUUCCAUCGUCGGCUUGCUGGACGGUGAUGGGUUGGAUGAGAUUUACCAUGUAAUCAAGUUAGUUUUGUUAGGGUUUGAUCCCUAGUAUCCACUAUGUUCUGAGGUUGAUGUUGCUAUGACUUUGCUAUGCUUAAUGCUUGUCACUAGGGCCCGAGUGCGAUGAUUUCAGAUCUGAACCUAUUAUGUUUUCAUCAAUAUAUGUGAGUUCUUGAUCCUAUCUUGCAAGUCUAUAGUCACCUAUUAUGUGUUAUGAUCCGACAACCCCAAAGUGACAAUAAUCGGGAUACUUCUCAGUGAUGACCGUAGUUUGAGGAGUUCAUGUAUUCACUAAGUGCUAAUGCUUUGGUCCGGUUCUCUAUUAAAAGGAGGCCUUAAUAUCCCUUAGUUUCUACUAGGACCCUGCUGCCACGAGAGGGUAGGACAAAAGAUGUCAUGCAAGUUCUUUUCCAUAAGCACGUAUGACUACUUAUGGAAUACAUGCCUACAUUACAUUGAUGAACUGGAGCUAGUUCUAUAUCACCCUAGGUUAUAACUAUUACAUGAGGAAUCGCAUCUGACAUAAGUAUCCACCACUGAUCCAAUGCCUACGAGCUUUUCACAUAUUGUGAUUUGCUUAUUUACUUUACCGUUGCUACUGUUACAACUACUACGAAAACCCAAAAACAUUUACCUUUUCUGUUGCUACUGUUACCAUUAUUAUCAUACCACUCUUGCUACUAAAUACUUUGCUGCACAUACUAAGUUAUCCAGGUGUGGUUGAAUUGACAAAUCAACUGCUAAUACUCAAGAAUAUUCUUUGGCUCCCCUUGUGUCGAAUCAAUAAAUUUGGGUUGAAUACUCUACCCUCGAAAGCUGUUGCGAUCCCCUAUACUUUUGGGUUAUCAAGAACAAUUUCUGGCGCCGUUGCCGGGGAUAGCUUUAUUCUCUGAGUCACUUGGGAUUUAUAUCUGUUGAUCACUAUGAAGAACCUGAAAAAUGCUAAGACCAAGAUUUUGCCCUCAACUACGAGGGGAGGUAAGGAACUGCCAUCUAGCUCUGCACUAGAUUCGCCUUCCAUUAUUAGUAGGCUUGCGACACCUAAACCUGCUACUGCUAUGAAUUCUGAUAUGUCACAUGUUAUUGAUGAUGCCACUUCUACUAUGCAUGAUGAAACUACUUCUGUGCGUGAUACUACUUUGCCAUUAGGUGAAUUUCUUGAUGAACAACUUGCUAGAGUUAGGGGGAAUGAAAAUAUUGAAGAUACUAUUGAUGAUAGUGAUGAACAAAGAAGCUGCUGAAGCUAUUCUUGCUUGCAAUGAUAGAAAUGAUCUUAAGAAAUUAUUAGCUAAAUGAAAGCAGCAGUCUCUAAAUGCUAGAAUAAAACCCGAUCCUAUUUUUGCUACUUCACCUAUCUGUGUUACUGAUAAGGAUUAUGAAUUCUCUGUUGAUCCUGAUAUUAUUACUUUAGUUGAAUCUGAUCCUUUUUAUGGCCUUGAAUCUGAAACUGUUGUGGCACAUUUUACCAAGUUGAAUGAUAUAGCCACCCUAUUUACUCAUGAUGAGAAGUCUGCUAUUUAUAUAUCCUUAAGAUUUUCCCGUUCUAACUAAAGGGUGAUGCUAAGACUUGGUAUAAUUCUCUUGCUCCUGGUUGUGUGCAUAGUCCCCAGGAUAUGAUUUCUUACUUCUCUACUAAAUAUUUCCCUGCUCAUAAGAAACAAGCUGCCUUGCAGGAAAUAUAUAAUUUUGUGCAAAUCAAAGAAGAGAGUCUCCCACAAGCUUGGGGGAGGCUUCUCCAGUUGCUUUAUUCUUUGCUUGAUCAUCAUCUUAAGAAAAAUGAAAUACUUGAUAUCUUUUAUAAUGGACUAACUGAUGCUUCCAAGGACCACUUGGAAAGUUGUGCUGGUUGUGUUUUCAGGGAAAGAACAGUUGACGAAGCUGAAAUAUUAUUGAACAAUAUGUUGACUAAUGAAAAUAAUUGGACUCUUCCUGAGCUAGUUCCUGAAGUAAUUCCUGAACCAAUUGAGCCAACUCCUGAGCCUAUUCCUAAACCCACUCCGAAGAGGAGAGGUGUUUUAUUUCUCAGUCCUGAAGAUAUGCAAGAGGCAAAGAAAUCAAUGAAAUAAAAAGGUAUUAAAGCUGAAGAAGUCAAGAAUUUACCACCUAUUGAAGAAAUACAUGGUCUUAGUUUACCGCCUGAAGAACCACAUUGUCUUGAUAACCCGACACAGGUAGUAAAGGUAAAUUCUCUCUAUAGAUAUGAUAACGUUGAAAUACCCUCUACUAAAUUUCAUACCCAAGCUUAGAUGAAUUUGAUGACUUUAUGGCUAGACAAGAAAGUUUUAAUGCUUAUGUUGGUAGAGAGUUAAAGAAUAAUGCUUUCGAGAUAGGACGCGUAGGUGAUAAUCUGGCUAGAGUUAAAGAUGAACUUCACCGCGUUAGCAAAUAUGCUUCUAUGGUUGCUACUCAAGCUAAGCACUCAAGGCUCAAAAUGAUUUGUUUGAUGAAUUGAAUAAUAAAAAUGACUUUGUCGUUAGAGUGGCUAUUAGAACUUGUAGAAUGACUCGGGAACCUUUGUAUCCUGAAGGCCACCCUAAAAGAAUUGAACAAGAUUCUCAGAAUAAUAAUCUAGAUGUUCCUAGUUCUUCUAAGAAGAAGAAAAAGAAGAAUGAUAGGACUGUGCAAACUUCUAGUGAACCAAAUGCUAAAAUACUUGAGAAUCCCAAGGAUACUUCUAUCUCUGAUGCUGAAAGACAAUCCGGAGAUGAACAUGAACCUGAUGAUAAUGCUAAUAAUGAUGUUCAUGUAGAUGCUCAACCUAGUAAUAACAAUGAUGUAGAGAUUGAACCUGCUGUUGAUCUUGAUAACCCACAAUCAAGAAACCAACGUUAUGAUAAGAGAGAUUUUAUUUCUAGGAAGCACGGUAAGGAAAGAGAAUCAUGGGUUCAGAAACCCAUGCCCUUUCCUCCUAAACCAUCCAAGUCAAAGGAUGAUGAGGAUUUUGAGCGCUUUGCUGAAAUGAUUAGACCUAUUUUCUUACAUAUGCGCUUAAUUGAUAUGCUUAAAGUAAAUCCUUAUGCUAAAUACAUGAAGGAUAUCAUCACAAAUAAAAGAAAGAUACCGGAAGCUGAAAUUUCCACCAUGCUUGCUAAUUACACUUUUAAGGGUGGAAUACCAAAGAAACUUGGAGAUCCGGGUGUACCAACUAUACCAUGCUCCAUUAAAAAAAUUAUGUUAGAACUGCUUUAUGUGAUCUUGGAGCCGGUGUUAGUGUUAUGCCUCUCUCUUUAUAUCAUAGACUUGAAUUGAAUAAGUUGAUGCCUACUGAAAUAUCUUUGCAAAUUGCUAAUAAAUCAACUGCUAUACCUGUCGGAAUUUGCAAGGAUGUGCCUGUUGUGGUUGCAAAUGUCACUAUCUUAACGGACUUUGUUAUUCUUGAUAUUCCCGAGGACGAUAGUAUGUCUAUUAUCCUUGGUAGACCUUUUCUUAAUACUACAGGGGCUGUUAUUGAUUGCAACAAAGGCAAUGUCACUUUUCAUGUUAAUGGCAAUGAGCAUACGGUACACUUUCUGAGGAAACAAUCUCAAGUUCAUAGCAUCAAUUCUAUUGAAAAAGUUCCAACUAUCAUUUUUGGAGGUUUUGAAUUUCCUCUCCCUACUGUCAAGAAAAAGUAUGAUAUUCUUAUUGUUGGGGAUUUUCAUAUCCCCGUUGAGGUAACUUAGUGUUAUUCAAAAUUUCUCUAGUUCCGUGUUAUUCGGAAUGAGUUUGUUAACAAGACUUGAUCAACCUUGUUAGCGGGUUCAUUUUGAUGAUCACGAGAUGGAUGAAACUAGAAGGCACAACCUUCUGUACCCUCUUUUUACUUUUUGUUAUUUAGAUUAAAUAAAGCAAAAAUAGUAUUAUCCGUCUUUUUUCUGAAUUAUCCGUGCAAAAAAAUAGUCCGAAAAUAAAAGUGCUCCAAAUGCCCUGCAAAUUUAGUAUGAUUUUUUCUGGAAUAUUUGAGUAUUUUAGGCACUGAAAACACUGCAGGAGGGCCAAGCACCAGGCCACGAGAGAGGAGGGCGCCCCCCUGUAGGGCGCGCCCCCCUGUCUCGUGGGCCCCUAGUGGCUCCCCUCCACUUAUGCCAGCACCCACACAGUUCAUCUUCUGCCAAAAAAAUCCCCAUCCAGCUCAAGCACGAGUUCUAGCUCGUUUUGCUACGAUUUUCGAUAUCUUAGCUUAAAGCUCCAUUCACAAAACUGCUUUGGGAGAUUGUUGCUUGGUAUGUGACUCCUCCAUUGAUCCAAUUAGUUUUUGUUCUAGUGUUUUAUUCAUUGCAAAUCUUUGUUGUCUUGGUGACCCUGUUCUUGAGCUUGCAUGUUAAAUUUUUGAGGUCCCAAGCAAUUCCAAUGCAUGAAAUGGGCUCUAGGCACUUGUAGGAGUAGUUGCUAUCAAUCUUGUUUAGUUUUAUGCACUUUUAUUUUGAAGUUACUAAAAUUUCAGAAAUUUUCAGAGAAAGAAAUAUGCUUAGAAAAAUGUACCAAGGUGGUUCCUCGGCAAAGAAAGGGCCAAGGAUUGCUAUAUGUGAGCAAGACGUUGAAUUGCCGAGCAAUGCAUAUGUACGGGCUUGUGAGUGGCCAUCCAAUGAUUUUAUGAUCGAAGCAGGCUUCAAGGAGGAAUUUGACGCGUAUGUGCGUAAUGCUGAGCUGGAGGACGUCUUACAAGAUAAGUGUCCUCAAUACUCUCAAUUGACUGAUUCCUUUGUGCAGAGGUUUAAAUAUAACUGUACGCAUAAUUCUCCUAGUGUCCUAUUUGAUAUUUAUGAUACAUCUUACACCAUGGACUUAGAGGAUUUUACAACUGCUUGCAAACUCCCGCAGUGGGGUAAUAUUAUUGAUCCUCCCAAAUCUGAAUUUAGAGAUUUCCUUGCGAAUAUUACUGUGGGAGAAUCUAGGGACGUAGCACAAGCUACCAUAGGGAGCAUUCAUUUUCCUGCUUUACAUUACUUUGCUCUCUUUAUUGGUAGAUGCGUUAACGGUAAGGACGAGGUAUGCCACAUGUGUGCCCCCGAUCUUUGUGUCCUCAAGAGUGUUGUGUCAGGUUAUAAAGGCUAUAACUUGGGGGCAAUAGUUGCACGUAGGUUGCAGAAUAAUAGUAGAAAGGGAAAUUUCUUUGGAGGAAUUUAUGCAACCCGUGUGGCUAAUUUUCUUGGUAUAGCCCCACAAGAAGGAGAUAUGAUAAUACCUCCUGUUUAUUUGGAUAAAGAAGCUAUAUUUAGUCAUCAUUUUCUUGAGAGGAAUGUACAAUUCCUCCAUUAUCGACUAAUCUAUGACAGACGCAACGUCGUCCCUGUUACUCUUCCUGCUCCCUACCUUUUUGAUUAUCAGGAAAAAGGAAGAUUUGUUGUCCCCAGAGAGGAAGCAGCUGAAUACGAGAGGGGAGUUGAGGCAGCUCGCCAACACGCUGCAGCUCAGGAGGCGGCUACCGCUGCAUCUCAGUACAACCCCGGUUUCACUUAUGGAUAUGAGCCAGGCGGUCCUUGGUAUUAAACCAACUUAGGCCAAAAGCCUAAGCUUGGGGGAGUACGCAUUUCUCACCGACUUUACAUUCAUGUUCACACACUAGUCGUCGGUGCUCAUACUCUUUCAUUGUAUUAUCCAUGCUAGUUUAAAUUUCUUUUUCUAGUUUUCUUCUUGUGUGUUUGAUAAACCUUAAGAAAAACCAAAAAAAUUAGUUAGUUAUUUCCCUUGUCUGUAGUAGAAUUAAGAUGAAAACCCAAAAAGAUUUCUCGUUCUUCUUUUACUUGUUGGGAGCUUUCCCAUGUAAUUAGUUUCAUUUUCUUUUCUUUCCUUUGGGGGUCGAGAAGACCAUAUUGAAAAUGCUUAGUGGCUCUCAUAUGCAUGAUUGAUUAUUUAUAUUUAGAGCCCAUAUUACUUGUCUUCUCUUUUGAGUUGAAUGCUUGUAGAUUCUAGCUUAGUCCAAUGCACAUACACUCUUAUUAUUAUACACAUCGUUCGGUCGUGCGAGUGAAAGGCAAUAAUGACGAUAUAUGAUGGACUUAUUGGGAUGAGAAAAGCUGGUAUGAACUCGACCUCUCUUGUUUUUUUAAAUAUGAUAAUUCAUCGCUCCUGAGUCAGCUAUUAUGAAGUAAACAUAUUUGCAAUGACAUUUAGAGAUUAUAGUUACUUAUGCCAUGCUUGAUUAGCUAUGAGUUAUAAUGGUUUACCUUGCAUGCCAACAUGCUAUUAGAAUGAUUAUGAUGUGGUAUGAUGGGAUGGUAUCCUCCUUUAAAUGAAUUGAGUGACUCGACUUGGCACAUGUUCACGCAUGUAGUUGAAUCAAAUUAACAUGGCCUUCACGAUAUUUAUGUUCAUGGUGGAUUAUAUCCUACUCAUGCUUGUAUUCGGUGUGAAUUAAUUUUAAUGCAUGCUUACGACUGUUGUCGCUCUCUCAGUUGGUCGCUUCCCAGUCUUUUGCUAGCCUUCACCUGUACUAAGCGGGAAUACUGCUUGUGCAUCCAAACUCCUUAAACCCCAAAGUUGUUCCAUAUGAGUCCACUAUACCUUCCUAUAUGCGGUAUCUACCUGCCGUUCCAAGUAAAUUUGUAUGUGCCAAACUCCAAACCUUCAAAUGAAAUUCUGUUUUGUAUGCUCGAGCAGCUCAUGUAACAACUAGGGUUGCCUAUAUCUUCCAUGCUAGGUGUGUUAUUCUCAGAGGAGUGGACUCCACUCCUCAUUCACGAGAAAGGGCCGGUAACCGGGAUGCCCAGUCCCAUGAUCCAAAAAGAUCAAAGGAAAUCAAAAUAAAUAAACAAAACUCCCCCAGGGCUGUUGUAUGUUGGAGGCACUCGUUGUUUCGAGCAAGCCAUGGAUUGAUGCUUGUUGGUGGUUGGGGGAGUAUAAACCUUUGCCAUUCUGUUUGGGAACUGCCCAUAAUGCAUUUAGUAUGGAAGAUACAGCCAUCUCAUAGGUGUUGCGUUGACAGCGAAAGUAUGCCGCUCAAAAUGUUAUUCAAUCUCUAUUUUAAAAUCGAGUUCUGGUACCUCUACAAAUCCCUGCUUCCUUCUGCGAAGGGCCUAUCUAUUUACUUUUAUGUUGAGUCAUCACCCUUCUUAUUAAAAGCACCAGUUGGAGAGCACACUGUCAUUUGCAUUCAUUAUUAUUGGUUUACAUUGGGUAUGACUUAACUGGAUCUCUUUUACCAUGAAUUACAAUGUUUAGUCAGUCCUUGAUCUUUAAAGGUGCUCUGCAUUUAUGUUUUGCGGUCCCAAAAAGGGCUAGCGAGAUACCAUUUUGUUAUAUCAUGUUAUGAUUAUUUUGAGAAAGUGUUGUCAUCCGAGUUUUAUUAUUAUGGCUCCCUAGCUGAUUUUGCUAUUGAUAUGAGUAAUUGUGAGACCUAUGUGUUAUUGUGAGUAUGGUUAGUUCGUAAUAUUUGCUGAAACUUGAAUGCUGGCUUUUCAUGUUUACAACAACAAGAGCAAACAGAGUUUGCAAAAGUUUUUCUUUAUCACUUUCAGUUUAUCAACUGAAUUGCUUGAGGACAAGCAAAGGUUUAAGCUUGGGGGAGUUGAUACGUCUCCAACGUAUCUACUUUUCCAAAAACAAUUGCCCUUGUUUUGGACACUAACUUGCAUGAUUUGAAUGAAACUAACCCGAACUGAUGCUGUUUUUAGCAGAACUACCAUGAUGUUGUUUUAUGUGUAGAAAAGAAAAGUUCUCGGAAUGACCUGCAAAUCCACGGAGGGACUUUUCAGAAUUAAUAAGAAUUUUUGGCGAAACAAUCAGGGCCAGGGGGCCCAGGGCCUGUCCACGAGACAGCCCCCCCUAGGGCGCCCCCCUAUCUCGUGGGCCCCCGGACCUCCUCCGACCUCAACUCCAACUCCAUAUAUACCGUCUCGCGGAGAAAAAAUUCGAGGAGAAAGUUUCAUCGCGUUUUACGACACAGAGCCAAAGACAAGCCCUAAUCUCUCUCGGGAGGGCUGAUCUGGAGUCCGUUCGGGGCUCCGGAGAGGGGGAUUCGUCGCCGUCGUCAUCAUCAACCAUCCUCCAUCACCAAUUUCAUGAUACUCACUGCCAUGUGUGAGUAAUUUCAUCGUAGGCUUGCUGGACGGUGAUGGGUUGGAUGAGAUUUACCAUGUAAUCAAGUUAGUUUUGUUAGGGUUUGAUUCCUAGUAUCCACUAUGUUCUGAGAUUGAUGUUGCUAUGACUUUGCUAUGCUUAAUGCUUGUCACUAGGGCCCGAGUGCCAUGAUUUCAGAUCUGAACCUAUUAUGUUUUCAGCAAUAUAUGUGUGUUCUUGAUCCUAUCUUGCAAGUCUAUAGUCACCUAUUAUGUGUUAUGAUCCGACAACCCCGAAGUGACAAUAAUCGGGACACUUCUCAGUGAUGACCGUAGUUUGAGGAGUUCAUGUAUUCACUAUGUGUUAAUGCUUUGGUCCGGUUCUCUAUUAAGAGGAGGCCUUAAUAUCCCUUAGUUUCCACUAGGACCCCGCUGCCACGGGAGGGUAGGACAAAAGAUGUCAUGCAAGUUCUUUUCCAUAAGCACGUGUGACUAUUUACGGAAAACAUGCCUACAUUACAUUGAUGAACUGGAGCUAGUUAUAUAUCACCCUAUGUUAUAACUAUUACAUGAGGAAUCGCAUCCGGCAUAAUUAUCCAUCACUGAUCCAUUACCUACGAGCUUUUCAUAUGUUGUUCUUCGCUUAUUUACUUUUCCGUCGCUACUAUUACAACUACUACGAAAACCCGAAAACAUUUACCUUUUCUGUUGCUACUAUUACCAUUAUUAUCAUACCACUCUUGUUACUAAAUACUUUGCUGCAGAUACUAAGUUAUCCAGGUGUGGUUGAAGUGGCAACUCAACUGCUAAUACUCAAGAAUAUUCUUUGGCUCCCCUUGUGUCGAAUCAAUAAAUUUGGGUUGAAUACUCUACCCUCGAAAGCUGUUGCGAUCUCCUAUACUUGUGGGUUAUCAUCGAGUCCUUAGGAUUCAAUCUUAUGUUUGUCUCAAUGCUUUGUGAUCUUGAUAUGGUUGUUGUCUUCGGCAAAUAUCGUUGCCUUGUGCUAAUGGAAUCUGACAACUCCAAAGUCUUCGAAGGCUUUAGGAAAGGAGACUUGUAUAUUGUUGAUUUCUCUGCAGGACCACAGCCUGCCACAUGUCUACUUGCAAAAGCUUCAGAAUGUUGGUUAUGGCAUCGAUGACUUGGUCAUGCUGGGAUGAGGAACUUACAUACACUCGUGAAGAAGAAGCAUGUCAUUGGCAUCGAGGGUGUCAAAUUCCUCAAAGACCAUAUUUGUGGGGCUGGGGCUUGUGAAGCUAGAAAGAUCACCAGAGCCAAGCAUCCCUCGAAGACUAUCAUGACCACUUCUCGUCCCUUUGAAUUCCUUCAUAUGGAUCUCUUCGGCCCUACUCAUUAUGCCACGUUCCCUAGUUCUGCAUCAUUAUAUGGCUUUAUCAUAGUUGAUGACUAUUCUCGUUACACAUGGGUGCAUAUCAUCACUUACAAAAAUGAGGUGCAGGAAGUCUUCAGACGAUUUUCCUCAAGGGCUUCCACUAACUUUGGUGUGAAGAUCAAGCAUAUCAGGAGUGAUAAUGGAACUGAGUUCAAGAACACUGGCCUCAACGAAUAUCUCGAUAUGCUUGGUAUUACUCAUGAAUUAUAUGCUCCUUAUACUCCUCAGCAGAAUGGCAUCGUGGAGCGCAAAAACAAGACUCUUGUUGAGAUGGCUCGCACUAUGCUUGAUGAAUACAAGACACCUCAUCGCUUCUGGCCUGAAGCAAUUGAUACUGCGUGCCACAUCAUCAACAGGGCAUAUCUUCACAAAUUCUUCAAAAAGACCUCAUAUGAACUCCUCACUGAUAAGAAACCCAAUGUGAGUUAUUUCAAAGUCUUCGGUGCUAAAUGCUGGAUUAGAGAUCCUCACCAUCACUCUAAAUUUGCACCGAAAGCACAUGAAGGUUUCAUGCUUGGUUACGGAAAGGACUCGCACACCUACAGAGUCUUCAACAUCAAUCAUCACAAGGUUGUUGAAACUGUAGAUGUGCGGUUCGAUGAAACUAAUGGCUCACAAAGAGAGCACCUACCUCCUGUGCUAGAUGAAGUGUCACCUGAGGAAUCCAUCAAGUUCAAAGCUACUGAGGAUGUCAUCCCUACCGAAGAAUCUGCUGAAGAAGUCAUUCCUAAUCGUGAAGAAAAUCACGCUGGUGCUGCUGAAGAAACUGGUCCUGAAGAAACUGCUGGACCUAAGCAAAGUCGUCGACCUGCACAUCCACGCGUUGCACACGAAGUGCAGAUUGAGAAGAUCAUCAAUGACAUUAAUGCACCAGGUCCCCUCGCGCGCUCAAAAGCUUCACAUUUAUCUAACUUUUGUGAGCAUUUUGCAUUUGUCUCUAUCAUAGAACCCACUAAAGUUGAUGAAGCAUUCAUGGAAUCUGAGUGGAUUCAAGCCAUGCAAGAUGAAUUGCAUCAAUUCGAGCUCAACAAUCUGUGGGAACUUGUCAAGCGACUAGACCCGCGCAAGCACAACAUCAUCGGUACCAAAUGGAUCUACCGCAACAAACAAGACAAAAAUGGCCUCGUGGUGAGGAAUAAGGCUCGUCUUGUAGUUCAAGGCUACACAGAGGUUGAAGGAAUUGAUUUCGAUGAAACUUUUGCACGUGUUGCUAGACUUGAGGCUAUUCGCAUAUUGCUUGCUUAUGAUAACCAUCAUAAUAUCAUCUUACAUCAAAUGGAUGUGAAAACUGCAUUCCUCAAUGGUAAGCUUGAGGAAGAAGUAUAUGUUGCUCAACCACCAGGUUUUGAGGAUCCAAAAUUUCCAGAUCAUAUUUACAAACUCAACAAGGCCCUCUAUGGCCUCAAGCAAGCACCUCGGGCAUGGUAUGACACACUGAUUGGCUCUUUAUUGUACCUAUGUGCAUCUAGGUCGGAUAUUAUGCUUAGUGUUUGCAUGUGUGCCCAAUUUCAAGCUACACCGAAGGAAUCACACCAUAAGGCUGUGAAGCAUAUUCUUCGAUAUCUAGCUCACACUCCAACACUUGGAUUAUGGUAUCCCAAGGGCUCUUCCUUUGAUCUCAUUGGAUAUUCAGACUCUGACUAUGCUGGUGAUCGGGUGGACCGCAAGUCAAUGUAAGGCACAUGUCAUUUCCUCGGACGAUCCUUGAUAUGCUGGUCUUUGAAGAAACAGAACUGCGUAUCACUCUCCACUGCAGAAGCUGAGUACAUUGCUGCUGGAUCUUGCUGUGCUCAAUUACUAUGGAUGAAGAAAACACUCAAGGACUAUGGCAUCAAUGUGAAGAAUGUGCCACUCUACUGCGACAAUGAGUGCUAUCAAGAUUGCUCACAACCCAGUUCAGCACUCGAAGACAAAGCACAUCCAGAUUCGUCAUCAUUUUCUUCGUGACCAUGUGUUGAAGGGUGAUAUCUCCAUCGAUCACGCAAGUACUGAAGACCAGUUAGCCGAUAUCUUCACUAAACCCUUGGAUGAGAAGAGAUUUAGCAAGUUGCGGCGUGAGCUAAAUAUCCUAGAAUCUUCGAAUGUUCUUUGAAAAGGACACACAUCCUAACACUUAUGCUGACUUGAUGACUUAGAUGUGCAACACACGAAGUAACGUUUUUCUUCAAUCAAUGAAGACUAACCCUCUAAGUGUGAAGAAAUUAAUGAAGAAAUUGAUUCUCAGAACUCUAGGAGAGUUGUGCGCGGUGUCUGAAAUCAGCUUUCUUAUACGGUGGGAUACGCCACCAACCAAAGUUGAAAAUCUUCAAUUUGAGUUUUUCUUCAUUUUUGAAAUUCCUCAGUUUUUCAAAUUCUUCAACUUUGCAUUGUCUUCACUCUUUCUGUCAUUCUUCUUCAUUGACUAUAUAUAUAUAUAUAUAUAUAUAUAUAUAUGAGUUUAUGUCCUCUACAUCAUUCACUUAUUGCUAAUUCCUCAAGUUGUUUUUUCUGCUAAGUGAAUGUGAUUGGACCCUUAUCCCCCUCCAUGCUAAACUCAACCCAGUCUGUUCAAAAAUUCUUCAUGUGCAUUCUAUUUGAAACUCGUUCAAAUUCUUCAUUGUGUACUUGUCAGUUGAAGAAAUUGCGAAUGAAACUUUAAAAUAUUCUUAUCUGGAUUUUCGGCUUUUGCCGCUCAAACCAUUACGCAUUCCAUGGUAUACUUAUCUAUUCACCCAUUAUCUCACACGAUCUCCACCUCUCAGUACGUGGGUGACACAUGUCGCGCGAAUGAGAAGGGUCAGGGGCACGUUUGUCCAAUUUCCUCGGACGAACGGUUUUUCACCUCAGCUAUAAAUACCCUCUCCCCUCCUCACUUCAUUUUUACUCCGCUCGACCUCACUCCCUCGCUCGAGCUUAUCAAAACCUAGUUCCACCGCUACUUCCAUCGUCGCCGGUGAGGAAGAGCUUCACUGCCUCGACCUCGUAGCCAUCGUACUCGCGCCGGACGCGGACAUCUUCUCUCCGCCGCCGCCGUAGACGUCUUCCUCCGCCAAGUUAGGGCGUGGAAGAUCAAAGCCAAUGAACUUCCAAAUCUACACUUCCAGUUCGUCGUGUUCUUCGUCAGGGGUAAUUAAAAAUUACUUUUACCACAUUUAUUCUACUGAUGAUUUUCAACAAAUCGUCAAAAGGUGUUUAUUCUUCAACCUCCACACUCUAAACACCUAGCACAAUUCUUCAGUUCUUGAUCUGUUUCUCUAAGUGACGUUUUUGUUCAUGAUUCCUUAAUUGUGUGAAUCUCACGAUCCGCACAACUCUGGAACCUAAGUCAAAGAACGCUUAGUGAAAUUCUUCAAGACACAUUGGGUCAAUUUCCUCAAACUUAUUCAGUUUUACAAAACCUUCUGAGAAUGCAUAUGACCUCUCCAAAUUCUUCGCACCUAUACUCUAUUCACAGGUACACAUGUUUGCUGUUGAAUCACUAGGUUCUCAUCAACUUAACUCAUUUGCAGCGUUCCUCGAAGAAAAGUUGCACACUUAGUCAGAGAGCUCUAUUGUUCGAAUCCCUCAGCUGAAGAAAAUGGCAGAUGGUAAAAGGCCUCAAAAAGGAGGAAAGAAGCAUGAAGUCUAUACUGCCUUUGAGAUCCCUGCUGACAUCUAUGUAGGGUACUGCACGCCUGAUGAGGCAACUCACGGCAAGGAGACUAAAAAUGAGUGCAAAGUGCGCAUACAGAGGAUUGAAAGAAGAUGGGCAAGAGAAUGGAGGGAGUACAGAUAUGUCACUCCCAAAUACAUGAAGAAAUUUGCUCUUCACCCUCCAUGCUCAAGACCUCCUCUGGCACCUAGCCAAAGAACUGAUCCAACAAGCCUUAAACGUGGUGAGGAUUAUGCUGAUGAAUGGGCCAGACGGCAAGCUAAAUUGGACAAGCAGACCAAAGAAGAAGUGAAGAAAUUCAAUGAGGAUUAUGUUGCUGGCUCUGUUGAGGCUUCUUCAAGCAAGAAGGCUAUGCCAAAGAAGCCGGCUCGUAAACCUCCAAGUUCCUCAGAAAUGCCCUCACGACCAAGUUCUUCUUUAAUGCCCUCACGGCCAAGUUCUUAUUCAAUGCCCUCACGGCCAAGCUCCUAUGUGCCACUAAGGCAAAUUCCUCAAGCUGCCCCAGUUCCUCAGACUGCACAAAUUCCUCGGGCUUCAAAACCCUCAACUCCUCUGGCAAAAUCCUCGGCACCUGUGCAUAUCGCCACUUGCCAAAGGACCACUGGCAUAUCAAUUGCCUCAGGAGCUUCAGCAAGUUCUUCAGCUCAUCCUUCUUCAACCGGUCCCACACUGCUGAAGACCAAGGCCGCUACUGGACGAGGCACUAGAUCAAGUCCUCACAAGAAGCAGGUGGUCUUCCCAACUCCAUCUGAUGAUGAGGCUGAUGAUGAUGAAUUAGCUGAUAUCAUCAAGGACAGACAGCAGCGGGCCGCUAGAGCCAAAGGGAGUGUUGUGCCCCUUCUACUGGAUCCGAAGAAGAUCCUGGAUUUCAUAGAUCUCUGGCACAAAGAUCCAAAUGCUCCAAUGCCAGAGUUGGGCCUCACUCCUGGACAAAGUCACAUGGUAACGGCGUUCAUCGCUGAAGAAAAAUGGAAAUAUGAUCAAGCCAGGACUGCAAAGAAAUCCCAGUACAAGAAGCAGCGCUUUCUGAAAGAUAAUGUUCUAAGUCUUUCGCCUGAGCAGCUCAUUGGACUUCAAUCUGAAAUCAAAAAGCUCAGUGAUGAAUUUGCCGCCUACAAGGCAGAAUGGUUGGGAGCCAAGGUCAGAUUCGUCAAGAUGGCGAAGAAAUUCACUUCAAGUGUCGCUGCUCCUGUGCACAUUGAAGUCACUCCAGCUAAAGCAUCUGCUCAAGCCACUGAAGGCUGCUGAUGAAACUGCAAGUACCAGGGUGCUACCUCUUGAGCAAUGUGUUGGUUUUCCCUUGAAGAGGAAAGGGUGAUCCAGCAAAAUAGCAUAAGUAUUUCCCUCAGUUUUUGAGAACCAAGGUAUCAAUAUAGUAGGAAGCUCCUCAAAAGUCUGGAUCUUGCUGUGCUCAAUUACUAUGGAUGAAGCAAACACUCAAUGACUAUGGCAUCAAUGUGAAGAAUUUGCCACUCUACUGCGACAAUGAGAGUGCUAUCAAGAUUGCUCACAACCCAGUUCAGCACUCGAAGACAAAGCACAUCCAGAUUCGUCAUCAUUUUCUUCGUGACCAUGUGUUGAAGGGUGACAUCUCCAUCGAUCAUGCAAGUACUAAAGAUCAGCUGGCCGAUAUCUUCACUAAACCCUUGGAUGAAAAGGACACACAUCCUAACACUUAUGCUGACUUGAUGACUUAGAUGUGCAACACACGAAGUAACAUUUUUCUUCAAUCAAUGAAGAGUAACCCUCUAAGUGUGAAGAAAUUAAUGAAGAAAUUGAUUCUCAGAACUCUAGGAGAGUUGUACGCGGUGUCUGAAAUCAGCUUUCUUAUAUGGUGGGAUACGCCACCAACCAAAGUUGAAAAUCUUCAAUUUGAGUUUUUCUUCAUUUUUGAAAUUCCACAAUUUUUCAAAUUCUUCAACUUUGCAUUGUCUUCACUCUUUCCGUCGUUCUUCUUCAUUGACUAUAUAUAUAUAUAUAUAUAUAUAUAUAUGUGUGUGUGUGUGUGUGUGUGUGNNNNNNNNNNNNNNNNNNNNNNNNNNNNNNNNNNNNNNNNNNNNNNNNNNNNNNNNNNNNNNNNNNNNNNNNNNNNNNNNNNNNNNNNNNNNNNNNNNNNNNNNNNNNNNNNNNNNNNNNNNNNNNNNNNNNNNNNNNNNNNNNNNNNNNNNNNNNNNNNNNNNNNNNNNNNNNNNNNNNNNNNNNNNNNNNNNNNNNNNNNNNNNNNNNNNNNNNNNNNNNNNNNNNNNNNNNNNNNNNNNNNNNNNNNNNNNNNNNNNNNNNNNNNNNNNNNNNNNNNNNNNNNNNNNNNNNNNNGUAUAUAUAUAUAUGAGUUUAUGUCAUCUACAUCAUUCACUUAUUGCUAAUUCUUCAAGUUGUUUUUUCUGCUAAGUGAAUGUGAUUGGACCCUUAUCCCCCUCUAUGCUAAACUCAACCCAGUCUGUUCAAAAAUUCUUCAUGUGCGUUCUAUUUGAAACUCGUUCAAAUUCUUCACUGUGUCCUUGUCAGUUGAAGAAAUUGCGAAUGAAACUUUAAAAUAUUCUUAUCUGGAUUUUCGGCUUUUGCCGCUCAAACCGUUGUGCAUUCCAUGGUAUACUUAUCUAUUCACCCAUGAUCUCACACAAUCUCCACCUCUCAGUACGUGGGUAACACAUGUCGCGUGAAUGAGAAGGGUCAGGGGCACGUUUGUCCAAUUUCCUCGGACGAACGGUUUUUCACCUCAGCUAUAAAUACCCCCUCCCCUCCUCACUUAAUUUUUACUCCGCUCGACCUCACUCCCUCGCUCGAGCUUCUCAAAAUCUAGCGCCGCCGCUACUUCCAUCAUCGCCGGUGAGGAAGAGCUUCACUGCCUCGACCUCGUAGCUGUCGUACUCGCGCCGGACACGGACAUCUUCUCUCCGCCGCCGCCGUAGACGUCUUCCUCCGCCACGUUAGGGCGUGGAAGAUCCAAGCCGACGAACUUCCAAAUCUACACUUCCAGUUCGUCGUGUUCUUCGUCAAGGGUAAUUAAAAAUUACUUUUACCACAUUUAUUCUACUAAUGAUUUUCAACAAAUCUUCAAAAGGUGUUUAUUCUUCAACCUCCACACUCUAAACACCUAGCACAAAUCUUCAGUUCUUGAUAUGUUUAUCUAAGUGAUGUUUUUCUUCAUGAUUCCCUGAAUUGUGUGAAUCUCACCAUCCGCACAACUCUUGAACCUAAGUCAAAGAACGCUUAGUGAAAUUCUUCAAGACACAUCGGGUCAAUUUCCACAAACUUAUUUAGUUUUACAAAACCUUCUGAGAACGCAUAUGACCUCUCCAAAUUCUUCGCACCUAUACUCUGUUCACAGGUACACAUGUUUGCUGCUGAAUCACUAGGUUCUCAUGAACCUAACUCAUUUGCAGCGUUCCUCGAAGAAAAGUUGCACACUUAUUCAGAGAGCUCUAUUGUUCAAAUUCCUCAGCUGAAGAAAAUGGCAGAUAGUAAAAGGCCUCAGAAAGGAGGAAAGAAGCAUGAAGUCAAUACUGCCUUUGAGAUCCCUGAUGACAUCUAUGUAGGGUACUGCACGCGUGAUGAGGCAACUCACGGCAAGGAGACUAAAAAUGAGUGCAAAGUGCGCAUACAGAGGAUUGAAAGAAGAUGGGCAAGAGAAUGGAGGGAGUACAGAUAUGUCACUCCCAAAUACAUGAAGAAAUUUGCUCUUCACCCUCCAUGCUCAAGAGCUCCUCUGGCACCUGGCCAAAGAGUUGAUCCAACAAGCCUUAAACGUGGUGAGGAUUAUGCUGAUGAAUGGGCCAGGCGGCAAGCUAAAUUGGACAAGCAGGACAAAGAAGAAGUGAAGAAAUUCAAUGAGGAUUAUGUUGCUGCCGCUGCUGAGGCUUCUUCAAGCAAGAAGGCUAUGCCAAAGAAGCCGGCUCGUAAACCUCCAAGUUCCUCAGCAAUGCCCUCACGGCCAAGUUCUUCUUCAAUGCCCUCACGGCCAAGCUCCUAUGUGCCACCAAGGCAAAUUCCCCAAGCUGCCCCAGUUCCUCAGACUGCACAAAUUCCUCGGGCUUCAAAACCCUCAGCUCCUCCGGCACAAUCCUCGGCACCUGUGCAUAUCGCCACUUGCCAAAGGACCAUUGGCAUACCAAUUUCCAAAGGAGCUUCAGCAAGUUCUUCAGCUCAUCCUUCUUCAACCGGUCCCACACUGCUGAAGACCAAGGCCGCUGCUGGACGAGGCACUAGAUCAAGUCCUCACAAGAAGCAUGUGGUCUUCCAAACUCCAUCUGAUGAUGAGGCUGAUGAUGAUGAAUUAGCUGAUAUCAGCAAGGAUAGACAGCAGCGGGCCGCUAGAGCCAAAGAGGGUGUUGUGCCUCUUCUACUGGACCCGAAGAAGAUCCUGGAUUUCAUAGAUCUCUGGCACAAAGAUCCAAAUGCUCCAAUGCCAGAGUUGGGCCUCACUCCUGCACAAAGACAUAUGGUAACGGCGUUCAUCGCUGAAGAAAAAUGGAAAUAUGAUCAAGCCAGGACUGCAAAGAAAGCCUAGUACAAGAAGCAGCGUUCUGAAAGAUAAUGUUCUGAGUCUUUCGCCUGAGCAGCUCAUUGGACUUCAAUCUAAAAUCAAAAAGCUCAGUGAUGAAGUUGACGCCUACAAGGUAGAAUGGGUGGGAGCCAAGGUCAGAUUCGUCAAGAUGGCAAAGAAAUUCACUUCAAGUGCCGCUGCUCCUGUGCACAUUGAAGUCACUCCGGCUGAAGCAUCUGCUCAAGCCACUGAAGGAAAUGCCAGCACCUGUGAUGAAAAUCAGGCAGCUGAUGAAACUACAAGUACCAGGGUGCUACCUCUUGAGCACUAUGUUGGUUUUCCCUUGAAGAGGAAAGGGUGAUGCAGCAAAGUAGCGUAAGUAUUUCCCUCAGUUUUUGAGAACUAAGGUAUCAAUCUAGUAGGAGGCUCCUCAAAAGUCCCACGCACCUACACAAACAAAGAAGAACCUCGCAACACGAUAAAGGGGUUGUCAAUCCCUUCACGGAAACUUGUGAAAAGUGAGAUCUGAUAGAGAUAAUAAGAUAAGAUAAAUAUUUUUGGUAUUUUUAUGAUACAGAUUGGAAAGUAGAGAUGCAAAUAAAAGUAAAUCGGAAACUUAUAUGAUAAAAGAUAGACCCGGGGGCCAUAGGUUUCACUAGUGGCUUCUCUCAAGAUAGCAUAAGUAUUAUGGUGGGUGAACAAAUUACUGUCGAGCAAUUAGAAAAGUGCAUAGUUAUGAGAUUAUUUAGGCAUCAUCAUGUAUAUAGGCAUCACGUCUGCAACAAGUAGAUCGAAACGAUUCUGCAUGUACUACUAUUACUCCACACAUCGACCGACUCCUGCCUGCAUCCAGAGUAUUAGGUUCAUAAGAAUAGAGUAACGCAUUAAGGAAGAUGACAUGAUGUAGAGGGAUAAACUAAUGCAAUAAGACAUAAACCCCAUCUUUUUAUCCUCGAUGGCAACAAUACAAUACGUGCCUUGCUGCCCCUGUUGUCACUGGGAAAGGACACCGCAAGAUUGAACCCAAAGCUAAGCACUUCUCCCAUUGCAAGAAAGAUCAAUCUAGUAGGCCAAACCAAACUGAUAAUUCGAAGAGACUUGCAAAGAUAACCAAUCACACAUAAAAGAAUUCAGAGGAGAUUCAAAUAUUUCUCAUAGACAAACUUGAUCAUAAACCCACAAUUCACCUGAUCUCGACAAACACACCGCAAAAAGAGUUACAUCGAAUAGAACUCCAAGAAGAUCGACGAGAACUUGCUAUUGAGAUUCAAAGAGAGAGAAGAAGCCAUCUAGCUAAUAACUAUGGACCCGAAGGUCUGUGGUAAACUAAUCACAACUCAUCGGAGAGGCCUUGGGGAUGAUGUAGAGGCCCUCCGUGGUUGAUUCCCCCUCCGGUGGAGCGCCGGCGAAGGCUCCAAGAUGGGAUCUCGCGGGAUACAGAAGCUUGCGGCGGUGGGAUUAGGUUUUCGUUCUGCUCGUGGAUGUUUUUAGGGUACGUGGAUAUAUAUAGGAGGAAGAAGUAGGCCAGUGGAGCCAUGAGGGGCCCACGAGGGUGGGGGCGCACCCACCCCCUUAGGGCGCGCCGGGCACCCUCGUGGUCGCCUCGUUCACUUCUUGACAUCCCCUCCAAGUCUCCAGGGUUGCGUUUGUUCCAAAGAGAUCGCUCUCGAAGGUUUCAUCCCGUUUGGACUCCGUUUGAUAUUCCUUUUCUUCAAAACUCUGAAAUAGGCAAAAAAGACAGCAAUUCGGGCUGGGCCUCCGGUUAGUAGGUUAGUCCCAAAAUGAUAUAAAAGUGUAAAGUAAAGCCCAUAAACAUCCAAAACGGGUAUAAUAGCAUGGAACAAUCAAAAAUUAUAGAUACGUUGGAGACGUAUCACAGGGCUGCUGAAGAAAUUCCAGCCUCUGAAGAAACUGCCAGGGCAACCACUAGUGUUGCGCCUGAAGAACAAGUCAGGACAGCUGAGGAAUCUGAAGCUGUGCCUGAAGAAAUUGCUCAAGACAGGCCAACUGCAUCAGUUGUGCAUGAAGAAAUUGAUCCUACUCCCUCUGCUCCGCCUGCACCAACACCAAGCCCAAUUCUUCCUUUUGCUCUGGAAGUGAAGAAAAUCAAAGCAGCAGAGCGAGCUGCUCUGAAGAAGAGGAAAGCAUCAGCUGCCUCAGAAUCUUCUACCCCAAAGAAGGCGAAGAUUUUGACAAGUUCAAUUGAUAAUCCCAUUGAUGUUGUUCCUCUUUCAAGCAUACCAUCAAAGGAACUUGUUCCUUACGAUGAAGAAUAUCAGAUUCCUGAAGAAGAUCCCACUGUUGCUUCCACAGAACAGAUGGAUGAAGAAUUUGAAGCUGAUGUUAUCACUUCAAUUCCUCAUGUAUCAUCGCCGACGCCUCAGUUCACUGCCGAAGAGACCGGUGUUGAAGAAAUAGAAGUGGAUGAGGAUGUGGAUAUUGGCUGUACCACUCCAGUGAUGAACGAUGGUUUUUGGGACGGUCAACACCCCAACUCUCCUCUGUUCACACUACUACAGCAAAUUCCUCAGUCCCCAGCUCCAACUGAAGUUCUGAUGGGCUCUGAAGAAAUUCAUGCUACCCCUUCCAUUCAUGAAGAAAUUCCAACCACUAGUGCUGAUGAAAAUACUGCUGAACAAAUGGAGGCCCAGGCUGCAAAUGAAGCAGAAACUUAAAUUCCUCAGCCUGCGGCUCCAAAACUUGAGAUUCCAGAGGUUAUUCUUCAACUAACUGAUACUCCUUAGCCCCAGCCGAAGAAUCCAUUCUCUAAAACUCCGAAGUUCAAGGAUGAUGCCUUCUUCAAUGAGCAUGUAUUCUUCACUGAUUACAAUCCCUAUGAUUCUGCUCGUCUGAGGAGGAAGCGCUUCUGGACAGCCAGUCAAGCAAAUUUAUAUUCUUCAGUGCUUUUCAACAAGGAUAAAGUCUUCGACCAUGAGCAUAUUCCUCACUUGGAUAUGGAAUCACUGCCUUGCUUCACGUCAGUCCUCGCUUGUAUUCAUGAUGUUGGACUGCUAAACUUCUGCACUGGCAUCUGUGAUUGGAAUGAGGAACUUAUUCUUCAAUUCUAUGCGACACUGCACAUCACUAGCAAUGCUGAAGAUGUGAACUCAUGGGUGUUGGACUGGAUGACAGAAAACACUCACUAUAAGGCACCAUCCACUGAAUUGUUUCGUGCCAUGCCUGUCAGUCCUUCCCCAGAAGGUGCGCGUCUGGUCUAUUCUGAAGCUGAACUAUCUGAUCACUUCAUGCAAGUGUUGAUGAAGCCAUUGAAGCCUGGUCAAUCCUCAAGGAAAAAAUUCCUUGUGAAGGAAUUGAAUAUGUGCCUAGGACUGUCUACCGCAUCCUGACGAAGACAUUGAGUCCAAUCAAAGGCCACGACUCAAAUGAUGAAGAAGUCGUUGGCAUCAUGAAGAAUCUGCUUUUCAACAUCAUGCACGGUAUUCCCGUGAACUACCAUGAUUUCUUCAUGAGGACUUUGGCAAACGUUGCAAUGUACCCGUUUGAGUUGAAGCAUUACGCUCCUUGGAUUAUGAGAUUCAUCAGAUCAAGGUCUUCACUCAACUACAAAGCUGAUACACUCAACCAUGGCAGCUACUUGCCCCCAAUUAAAGUCCUCAAACAGACAUUUUCCUCAGCUGAUGAAAAGGGCAAGGCCGCUACUAUUAUUGAUGAGGGCAUUCGACCAUUGGAUGGACAGUUUCACAAAGCUGCUUCAUACUCCACCAAUGAUGACUCUGCUACUCAUGAUUCUGCUGCCAAUGCAUCUAAGCAAAGUCCUCAGGCAACAGCUCCAAGGGUGAUGACUCAUCGUGAGCUUCUCCUUAGUCUUCAUCAAAAGGUGGAUCGCAAUCAUAAAUGGUAAAGCGUCGGUUUGGUUCUAUUCUUCACAACAUGACUACCACAUAUAAUUCAGUGAAGAAGAACCAUUACUACCUCAAUGAAGUUUUUUAUUGCACGUGGGCUAUUCUGUCUCAUCUCUAUGGUGAUGAGGAUCUCAAGCAAAUGGGCUUCAAGCAGGACUUCGGCUGGUAUAAGCCUCCUCCGAAGAAAUUCAAGAAGGUUGAAGUUCCUCCUUUGGUGCCCAGUUCAUAUUCCUCAUCCCGCGAUACUGAUGAAAAUGAAGAUCUGGACGACACUGCGGCAGGCCCGGCUACAACAAACGACCCCAACAACACUGACGCUCCUCCAUCGACUUCGUGAUGAAAUUCCUUAGGGGCGUUAGUCCUUACUUUUUGUCCCUUUUGGUCAUUUGAUGACAAAGGGGGAGAAAUUUGAGUUAGUCUUCAAGCGGGUCUUUAUAUAUGGGCAUUUUUUUAAGUUGCAACUCUCGCUCUUCUAAAACUUUUGUUGUAUGAGUUGUAAACUUAAGUCUGAUGGUGACCUGAUACUUCUACUCUGUUUUUCUGCAUGCUAUUUCCUCAUUAAUGUUACGCAUGCAUGCUGAAUUACAUCAGUCACCAUAUUUCAUCAUGCAUUUCAAAUUCUUCAUUUCAUAUGUUAAAUGUGUGUAUGAAUUACAAGAUAUAGGGGGAGUUCUCCAUGAUUCUACUCUUCAAUUGUGCAUUGCUUCAAAAUCAAAUUCCUCACUAUGCACAUCCCCAGGGGGAGUUCUUCUAUAUCUUGCAAUCAAAUUCCUCAAUAUUGAGUACUCUCAAUUCAUAUGUUUAUCCCCGUUGAAAACUUAACCUAUAUUGUCAUCAAUCACCAAAAAGGGGGAGAUUGUAAGUGCAUCUAGUGCCCCUUAGUGAUUUUCGUGUAUUGAAGACUUAUAGGUUAAGGGACUAAUAUGUUUGUGAGUGUACACAGGCUCUAUAAGUCAAUGAGGAGUUUGAUAUUUACAGUGAAAGUCGACCCCUAAAAAUGAAGGUCUUCGGCUGAAGACUUUGGUUCCCCUGAAGACUUUGAAAGUGAAAAAAUUGGUGUGACCUUGAAGACUUCGAUAUUCAUGCGAGAAAUUUGAAGUGUGAAGACUUGUUUUCGUAGUUUCAUUUUCUUCUUCUUGAGUCAUAGGAAACACUGUACUAUUAAAGGGGUUCGAGGUAAUACUAAGGAAACUGAUUUCCAAGUGAUGCUCGUCUCAAAAUCCUACACCUGCCCAAUCCUUCGAGUGAACCCAUUGGAAAUUUCAUAUCAGUUCAGUCAAUUUCUUCAUUGAUAGAGACGAAGAUCUUCUGUUCUCUGAGGAAUUUGUCCUGACUGAGGAGUUAGGAUUUCGCCAGUGCGAAUUGCCUACACAGUGAGGAACAUGAUAGCCCUGAGGAAUUUGGAACCUCAAAUCCGACCGUUGUUGUGCCAUGUGUGAGCUGUCCAAAAUAUCCUAUCACCUAACGGUCAUAUCAGACAAGGGCAUUUAUGUCUUAUCAUGUCGGGCUGCUCCCUAGGCAAUAAAUAGCCGCCCCCUACAACUACUAGCUGGUUGGCUGCUCCGAGAGAAACUGACACUUGUCAUUUGAGAGCAUCCCAUCCUCCAAGGACUUUGAGCGAAAAUCAUCAAGUGGGGAAAACCCAAAUCACAAACCCAAACCUACAAACCCCAAAGUUAUUGAGCAUCACUGAAGAGAUUGUUCCUGUGUGGAACCGAUGCUUAUUACCUUUGAGGAUUGUGUAUCCUCCAGAUGGUUAGGCGUCAUGGUCUGAGCAUCCAAGAGGAAUUGUGGAUUGCCGAGUGACCAAGUCUGUGAAGGUUUGGAAGUCACCUGUGAAGACUUACCACUACUGUUGGGCGAGGUCUGUGUGAUCUUAGUUCAAGGAGAAUAAGGUGAGGACUGUGUGUCCUCGAGUUGAAAUACUCAGCCGCUCCAACCAGACGUACAACUGUCACAGCAGUUGGAACUGGUCUAUCAAAUCAUUGUCUUCACCAAGCCUACUGGUUCUAUUUCCUCAACCCUUUUAUUUCCUCAGUUAUGUUUUGAUGAACCUGAUCAUUAUUGUUUGAAGACUCUGACUGAAGACUUUCUCUAAUUCCUCAAUCAUGUUUCUUCAGUUUGUUUUGUCUUCAUCCUGCUUAUUCUGUGUUUAUGCUUCCUGUAUUGUGUGUUUGUCUUUCAUUUCAUCAUGAUGACUAUGUUGUUGCUGUGUUAUGCUUAUACCUGAGUACUUAUUCCGUUGCAAGUAGUUCUUCUCUUAGAAAUUUCCUCACCCUGAAAUUCCUCAGUGAAGAAUUCAUAAAAAUCGCCUAUUCACCCUCCCCCCUCUAAUCGACGUAAUGCACUUUUAGCGGCACCCACCUGGCGGUAGAACUGCUUGAUGUGGCGGUUUGAGGGUGGCGCCUGUGAGCCACCCAGGAGAGUUGCGAUGGCGGGAGGCGUCGGUGCCGCGAAGUGCGUGAUGAAGAGGUUGCGCAGCUCCUCCCUAGAGGCCACAGAAUACUCCGACAAGCUGAGCAGCCAGGCGCGCACGAGGGCCAUGGGGAACCAGUUGGCCAUCACCUUGUCGUCCCCGCCGGCUGCCCAAACUGUCUCAUUGUAUGCCUGGAGGAAGCCAGCCGGAUCCGCCGCACUGUAGUAGCAGGGCGACAUCUCUGGCCUGAACUUGAGUGGCCACUGCACCCGCCGCAAGGCGGGGGUGAAAGCGCGGAGGCCCAUGGCUCCCCCAAGGGUGCGCGACGACCCAGUCGGCGGAGAAGCACCUGCCAUCGGAGUCGGCGACGAAAUGCGGUGGACGAAGCGGCGGAUCCCUGACGCACCCCUACCUGGUGCGCCAAAUUUCGAAUUUCGGGUUCCGCAAACCGUUGAGAGGUUCGAACUUUGGGGUGCGUGCGGAGAUCUCAACCUACCCAGUCUGCCUACUCGCUAAUCUCACAGCCUAUCGCGUCGAGCUUGAAGGGAAAGGAAGACACAACAUUUUACCCAGGUUCGGGCCACCUUGCGGUGUAAAAUCCUACUCCUGCUUUGUUAGUGGAUUUGCCUUGAGGGGCUGAGGAAAAACUAGUACAGUGAAGAAACAGCCUUAAGGGACGUGUUCUUGAGCUCAAGUGAGCUGGUGAGGUGGUGAGGGUGGAAUGGAUCCGAGCCCUCCUGUUGGUGGUGGCUAGGUCCUAUUUAUAGUGGUCUUGAUCCUCUUCCCAAACGUAGGCGGGAAGGAAUCCUACAACGGCCAAAUUUGAAGGGAGACAACAAGUACGUCAUAUCCUGACUAAAGUGGUCUUCGCCUGCAAAAGCCUCUGGUCGUGACCCUACGGUGGGCUCGGUGGUGACCUCCGUCCUGCCGUCCUGGCGGUCUUGGUCUUGUUGCACCAGAAUGGUAACAUUUGGUUGAUUCCUCGGGACUCUGCGCCUGUUGCUUGUCUCCUUUGCACCGAAGAGGAAACUGAUACUCUACGCCCGCUGACGCCCGCCUGGCCUUGGUCGUCAUGGCUCACGUCAGCCAAACCUCGCGACAUGAGCCUUGCAUAGAAAUCUCCGCUCCUCGGGAGCCAGCCUGAGGGGGCCGAUUCCCUUGAAGGUCUUGGUGUCGUCCGCCUCGCGAGGGUCUUGAGUUGUUGAUGCCGAAGCUGGGUCGUACCAGACCGUUGAUGGAGCCACGCCGUGGGCCGCAGGAAGGCAAGUAUGACUACCCCGUAUCUAGAACGCCGACACAUUCACCAAAUAGAUUUGGCAUUUAGUAAUUCUCUAAUGAGUUGAUGAUAAAUAUAGGGAAGCAGAUGGAUAUGUUUCGUUAUCUCACAAGAUACAAACAGUAAAAAAGCACUUAUUUCCAUAUUAUUGACCAAAUAUUUGAUUUUGCUUAUUAUUCUUUGGAACGAGAGAGGGCUGUAGGGGUCUGCCUUUAACAAGACAAUGUGUACUUGACAUGUAGGUACACCAUGCCCGUAGUAGGUCUAGAUUUUUAUUUUGGAGAAAGCAAAGUACUGCCCCUGUGGUCUGUUGUGUGCCCACUUCUUGCUGCAUGCAUGCCCUGCUCUCUCUGCACAUCUUUUUCAGUUUUCCCUCUUUCCUCAGUUCUUCUUCCUCACCUGUCUGUCUGUAGUCUGUUCCUCUCCAGCAAAGGACAAAACAACCAAAGCUGCAUGGUUCUUGUACCAUUAUUAUUUUGCUCGGGUUCUAGUAGUUUAAAAUAAAAUAAUUCAGGGACCCACACGCAUGCUUCCGUGUGCUUAGUCCAAAGCCCCAGCUGUGACUUGGAUUACCCAUGCCCCAAAUGGUGAUUGGACUUAUUAUGCCAUGGAAGCAGGCAAUGACAAACAAAUGAUUUGUGGAAUGGUUGGAAAAGUUUGAGGGAAGCGGCACAUGGAGAGAGGACUUGUGUGUGUCCCUUCCUCCGGUCCUCCUCUCCUCCCCUUGCUUGUCAAAUGCUUUAUCACUGGCAAGUGGGUCCAACCGAGUUACCACAGGGAUUGGGCCUAUGUGUCAGCCGCUGUGAGCGAGGGAAUGUGUUUGAAUGUGUGCAAGUGCUUUUCUGGUCAUUACGUGUAGGUGGGUGUACUUAAGUAGGGUUCCAAGUUGUAGGAGACUUUUGGUGAGUUGUAACAGAAAGAGUAGGACUAGGAGGGACAGAGAAAGCGCUGAUGUGGAAAUACAAUGCCAAUCAACGCACAUCAUGGGAACACUGGUCAAGGCAUUGGUCCUUUCAUGUUUUUAUAAAUCAAGCGUGCCAAUUUCCCUGACACGUGUAUUACUGAUGUUUUAGGCCAUGCGUUUUUCUCAGCUUAUUUUGGAUCAUCUUUGGGAAGGAGUUUUUAGACGAGUACAACUCGCGCACCAGUCAGUUCACUCAAAAACUUAAUCUAAUAAAAAAAUAUGAUAUGUAUUAAUACAUCAACAAAACAAACCAUUUAUUCGUGAAAAUUUCGUGUGAAAUCCAUGCGCCAUCUAAUUGACCACUUGAGUAGUACUUAUAGACCAGCUCUUGGAGACUCGACACCUCGACCCGAUCAGCAUAACAACCGUCAAUUUGACGAUUUUGGUUGAAUUGGACGAACUAGAAGAGUCAUCAUCCCGUUCUGGAUCGCCUUAAUAAAUUGCAAUAAUAACAUAUAUAUAUAUAUAUAUAUAUAUAUAUAUAUAUAUAUAUAUUAUAUAAGUUUAUCACAAGUAUAAAACACCUCAAACACAAUAAAAAUUACAUCGAGAUUCUGAGACCACCCAACAACCACUACCGUCACCAAAAAGUGUCAUCGUUGUCGCCGCUCCGACCUUAUCAAUGACAACCUGGAGGCCUUCGUGCACGUGCCCUAAGGACCAGCAUCUUGGAGCCGAAUUCAUCGCCAUUGAACCCUUGAACUGAUUCGAAGCACUUNNNNNNNNNNNNNNNNNNNNNNNNNNNNNNNNNNNNNNNNNNNNNNNNNNNNNNNNNNNNNNNNNNNNNNNNNNNNNNNNNNNNNNNNNNNNNNNNNNNNNNNNNNNNNNNNNNNNNNNNNNNNNNNNNNNNNNNNNNNNNNNNNNNNNNNNNNNNNNNNNNNNNNNNNNNNNNNNNNNNNNNNNNNNNNNNNNNNNNNNNNNNNNNNNNNNNNNNNNNNNNNNNNNNNNNNNNNNNNNNNNNNNNNNNNNNNNNNNNNNNNNNNNNNNNNNNNNNNNNNNNNNNNNNNNNNNNNNNNNNNNNNNNNNNNNNNNNNNNNNNNNNNNNNNNNNNNNNNNNNNNNNNNNNNNNNNNNNCCCUCCCUGCCGAACACGGCCAAACAACUAUCUCACAAUGAAGCAAGACUAUCGUUGUCAACGGCAAUUGCCACCACGUUUCCUAUUGCCCACGGCUAUCAAAAGGUCGUUGGCAUGUCCCACCUAGCUCAUAUCCCUGCCGCCACCCAUAACCUCAACUCCUCCCCCUUCCGCCAUCGUCGUUCACAGACAUUGUUCAAAAUAAUCUAAGGUGGAUCACCUAAUGCUCAGUAUAAUUAAACACCUAUGAUAUGAAAAAAGUCGUUAAUCGAGUCGAGCACCAUCGCCGAAAUCGGCACCCCGCCAUCAAAAUUACACCCAUGAGGAAAAAAUCCCUGGCCCCAUUGCCAUCCGUCUCACCGCUUGCGCUCAGCUCCAUCCUUGCCCUCGUCGUCGUAUUCAUGGUUGUCCUCGCCCUCGCCGCGUUCGUGACCGACGAUGUCAACCUUGUCCCCGUCGUCAUGUUGUGAUGUGUGUGACUGGCGGCUGCUGCAACGACAACCGUUUUGUGGUCGACGGCGACCGCUUGGCUAGUGUGUUUGCGCUGACAUGUGUGAUGUGCGAAGUGUGGCCAUGUCGUGGCCGUCGCCGGCCUGUUGAUGUGAGUGAAGUGAAGUAGAAGGUGAAAAAUUAGAAGAAGAUAAAGUAUGUUGAGAAUAACGUACGAGCCACAUAUGUGAGAAAUUUAUUGAGACUAAGAUACGACGACUUUGAAUUUGCACGUCGUUUGUCCAACCUUCAGUACGUUAUGGAGUGCGCUUUAUAUAAUAAUAUAGCAACUCCGAUUAUGACGAAUGUGCUAGAGUUGCUCUUAUAUCAGAGUGAGACACAUAGAGUAUGUGUUUUUCCUAGCACAAGUUUGAUAAGUGGGGAUCUCAGUAACUAGUGGCCUGUGGCAAAGUUGUUGAUGUUCAUUUUAUGGUGGGGCAAAUGGCAAGGUUUUGCAGGCAGCAUACACUUUGCCUAGGUAUCCUUUGUUUUGUUUAUUCCCACAUGCUCAUGUGCAGUGCCCCAAAGAAACAGAAAUCCUUGCUUAUGUGUAGCAGUGCUGUGCCGGGCAUUGUGCUUAAUCAGCACAAGAUGCCACGGAGAGGGGGGCUAGCUUUGAAGCGUGUAGUCUUUGGAGGAAAGGAAAUGAAAGCAUGUAGGCAGAGGUCCCCUUCAACAGUAGUAGUAACACUGUGAGAGCGAUCGCUUGCCUCGAGGUCAAAGCCUACAAAAGUCCAAGCAAGAGACUACUGGGGCUAAAGCUCUUUGCAAUCCGAAUAUGUUUUCAGGCUUGCAUGGUUAACGUUGGAGUUGUUUACGGUUGCUUUGGCACCUUCUCAUCGCGUACGUUCGUAGAUUACAAGCGACGUCGUCCUCAUGCUUUCAGCCGUUCCCAAUGCCCGGGUCAAUCGCAAGGCCCAUCCCCAACAUCCCAGUUUUGGUGACAUGGCCGGGUUGGGUCUCUGCCCUGCUUAUAGCAAAAUAAAAAUAAAAAAAAUCAACAAAGGGCAAUACACAUCCUUUUUGUAGGAAAGCAAAUUUUAUUACUCAAAUGGACUUGUUAGACAAUGCCUGCGAUCUCAUCUGCAGAUAAUAAUAUCAAGGCGAUAUCAAUUUCACCAGACCUCUGCAACAACACAAUAUCAAGCCAAUUUGAGACAUCGAGAAUGCAAACAACCAGAACUAUUAAACAGAAAAGGAAGAAUAAAAAAUAAUAAAUGACACGGCCAACAACUUGCAACACAUAACCAGCAAAACUUUCCAGCGCCCUUGAGAACACCUAAACUACGAAAAAUGUUACUCCAAAGCAACGCCUCCAUGAAGGGAACGAUGCACAGGUGCCGCCAUCGUCGGAUCCAACCACUAAAACGGCAAAUCUUGUUUCACCAAGGAGAGCACGUCUAAGGAAUCUCCAUGCAAUGCAUUCAAGGACACGACAUGUAAAUACCGUCCUUACAAGAUGCAACCACCAAAGGCUAGACCCAAGACCCGAUACUGAGUAGAACACCACCAAACCGUAGUCUUCUAGUGUUGCCGCCCCCACUAUUCAAAGAAGACGAUGUUGUAUGGAGGGGAACACACACAUGCCAUGGUCACGGGAAAUUGAAAUAUAAAAAAGUUCAUGGUGUAAAUGACUAGAGACAGCCGCUCUCGUGCUUAACCAUGGAGUGAACAUCAUAACCCAAACAAGGCCAUGCCUGCGAACACAGAUUAUCGCAGAACGGAAGAACCCAACGCCGUCAACAACUUCGCACGUGCACGUGUUCCAAAGCCAGUGCGGUAGACCCUUGACGGCAACUAUGGCGUCGAGAUGUGGCAAGUCGUAGCUGCACCAUCCCCACCCCACUGUUGCACCUCAUCAAGUUGAAUCGUCGCUACCACAUCACCGAUGAAAUCGAUGACACCCCCUUCCCCUCGAGCCGCCAUUGGAAGGCCAUAUCGUAUGACCCACUGCCUCCACUGCUCUUGGUAUGAAAUCCAGAGUCGGCUAUCGCACCACCCACAUGGGCAAGCCGUGAGUGGAUAGAUCUAGCAACUGAUGGAGGAGCAACAAAGGCAAGCCAAACUCGAUCGUAUUAAGGCUUGCCUGAGAAAGGUUGCACGCGGCAGGAGAUGCCAUCAGGGAAACCACCGACCAAUGUAUUAUGCAACAGAGAGAAGACCUCCAGAUGAGAAGAAAACCCGCCAUCCGUGGAGUGGAGCGCCCCACCGCCAUCUUCUUAGGCAUCCACGCAAGCUUCUCCCGCAGUUGGCCUCUGGUGGCGGCAAAAUGGGAGUGAGGAGGAUGGGCUAAGAGGCGACGACGUGACAUUCUCCGAGUCGACACACCUGGGAUUACCAGUUGUCGUGAAUCUUCCGUCGACGCAUGAUAUCGGCUGGAUUUCACCGAAUGUCGUACCCCAUUAUGAUUCGCAAAUCUUGGCAUACCCAUUUUUGAAUUUAAGAUGUGUAGUGUAGGUUAGGUGAACGAGAUAUACUAAGGAGUGAGGGGUCUACAGAAAUGAAAUGUUGCCAAGGUGAGAGAGAGGGAAAGGUCUUGUUCCUCUUGUUGCUUGAAAUAGACAAGCUCGGGUUUGAAAUGUCAAUAAGGAACAAGUUUUUUAAGUUGAUACUAAAUAUACCCGAUCUUUGGUACAAUAUGAUGCCAAUGGCUAGUGUAGACAUAAAGGGUGCACACAAGUAUAUUCUGAAUGCGAUGAGCAAGCGACUACCAAAUUUAACAUUCUCUUAGCUGCUUUUAGAGGCUACUGCAAAGAUCUAACUUCUCUAGAUAUGCAACUUGAUGAUACACCCUAUAUGAAGAUCUACAACAAGAUACCUUUUUUGCGAGGAAAUUUCUGAUCUAUUCAUCAACUGUCAAGGUAAUGCAAAGAACACUAGAAGUAAAAUUUACAUCCACGUUUGUAGACCACCUAGCGAUGACUACAAGCACUGAAGUGGAUCGAAGGCGCGCCGCCGUCAUUGCCCCUCCCUUGUCUAAGACGGGUAAACAUUGUUGUAGUAGAAAGUCGGGAAGUCGUUGCGCUAAGGCCCCAUAGGACCAGCGCAGCAGAACAACAACCGUCCCCGAUGAAGAGAGGCGUAGAUCGGAUGGAUCCAACAUGCAGACACACAGACAUAGACAGACGGAGACCGGAUCCAGGCGGACCCACCGAAGACAAACGCUGACCGGAUCCCAUGAGAUCCGCUGGAGACACGCCUCCACACGCCCUCCAAUGACGCUUGAAGCAUCACCAGGGGGGUGUCGGUGUCAAAACCGGCAGAUCUCGGGUAGGGGGUCCCAAACUGUGCGUCUAAGGCUAAUGGUAACAGGAGACGGGGGACACAAUGUUUACCCAGGUUCGGACCCUCUCUAUGGAGGCAAUACCCUACUUCCUGCUUGAUUGAUCUUGAUGAUAUGAGUAUUACAAGAGUUGAUCUACUACGAGAUCGUAGAGGCUAAACCCUAGGAGCUAGCCUAUGAUUAUGAUUGUUGUUGUCCUACGGACUAAACCCUCCGGUUUAUAUAGACACCAGAGGGGGCUAGGGUUACACAGAGUCGGUUACAGAGAAGGAAAUCUACAUAUCCGAAUUGCCAAGCUUGCCUUCCAUGCAAAGGAGAGUCCCACCCAGACACGGGACGAAGUCUUCAAUCUUGUAUAUUCAUAGUCGAACAGUCCGGCAUACGCAUAUAGUUCGGUUGUCCGAGGACCCCCUAAUCUAGGACUUCCUCAGUAGCCCCUGAACCAGGCUUCAAUGACGAUGAGUCCGGCGCACAGAUUGUCUUCGGCAUUGCAAGGCGGGUUCCUUCUCCGAAUACUCCAAAGAAGAUCUUGAACACAAGAAUUGUGUCCGGCUCUGCAAAACAAAUUCCAUAUACCACCAUAGAGAGCACAAUAUUCCACGAGUCUAAUCUUCUGACAACUUUUACUUGGCGUGACAUCACGCCACGGCCCGGUUAUUAUUCAAACCGCUUUUCCAACCUGCCACUACAUGUUUUGUGAGGCGGUCUUAUUGGCACGUCUUGUCAAAGCAGAGAUCGUGUCCCCCAUUAUUACGUGAUUCUCGUCAAUACGGGCGUGGGUAACCCAACCGGGCCAUUAGUACGACUCCUUGGUUUAGGCAAGUUCCAAACGGCCGCGCGGAGGACGCUUGAUAUUCUUCCUCUAUAUAAAGAGGUCUAGUCCUGUCAUUUUCUUUCCACGCCUUAUCCCCCCUUUUCCUCCCCUCGAGUUCUAGCACCCUAGGUUCGGUCCAAGCGCUCCGGACCUUCAAUCAUGUCCGGAUCCAACCUUCAAGGCCGGUGGAUGGCCUCUUCUAUUACAGAGGAGGAUAUCAAGAAGCUUAGGGAGGCUAGGUAUCUGACCGCUGAAAUCCUUCACAGGCUUCCUGCCUAAGGGCAGGUUAUUCCUACUCCCAAACCCAACGGGAGCGUCGUAUUCGUCUCCCACUUCCUCCGAGGGCUAGGCUUCGGUCUUCAUCCCUUUGUUAGAGGGCUCAUGUUCUAUUAUGGGCUAGAUUUUCAUGAUCUAGCCCCAUAUUCCUUCCUUCACAUCUCGACGUUCAUCGUUGUGUGUGAGGCCUUCCUCCGCAUUACCCCACACUUUGGCCUAUGGCUCAAGACCUUCAAUGUGAAGCCGAAGAUGAUCGACGGGCGACACGCGGAGUGUGGAGGCACUAUAAUAAGCAAGGUGUCGACGCUCCAUGGCCAAAGGGCUCUUUCCCGGAAGUUUCUGACCUAUGGCAACGGGAGUGGUUUUACAUCACCGUGCCUCGAGGGAGUAAGUGGGCGGCCGCUCCGGCCUUCCGCUCUGCCCCUCCGCCACAACUUGCAUCAUGGGUCAACAAGGGGCUAGACUGGGGAUCAGUAAAUGACGUGUCGAUAUUGCAAAGCCGCAUUCGGGAUCUCCUCAAGAGGGAUAUUAAUCUCGUUAAAGUAAUUCGAGCAAUGCUAGUCCGCCGGGUCCUGCCAUGCCAACGUCGAUCUCUCCGCAUGUGGAAGUUCAACCCGAAAGGACCGUGAACCAUUCAGCACUUCUUCGGUGUGACGCUUGAAGGGAUGUAUCGAUUAUUCUUCGGAUCACGAAUAAAGUGUCCGGACACAACAGAGGAUGCGGGUCUCAACUGCAAUCGUCCAGAUACCCAAGUAAGUAACUCCGCGACCGAACAUGUUGUCAUUAUAUUUGUCACAACAUUAUUCUGAAAAACCACCCUCGGCGAGGACUGGAUAAGAAAGGCAGAGAGGAUCAGGUGUUCGGCCCCUCUUCCCAAAGAUUCGCCGGAUCCUGUACUGACCAGGAUGCUGGCUCGCGCACCUUAUCAAGUGCCAUCAGGGGAGGACAAGGAGAAGAAUGAGGAAGCCAAAAGCGGACUUCAUACUGGAGGUACGUUACGCAUCCUAACCGGGGAAAUUAGUACUCUUGUGUCGAAGGGUGAACGGGCAGGAGAUUCUAUUAUCCCUUCUCCCCACGGGAAGAAAAGGACCACCCCUGAUGAUUUGUAAGCAGAGGUCUCCAAAUGAGGGAAGAAAUCUUCAUCGGGGGGCCCUGCCUUGGAGGGCAACCUUACCGCACAGCGCCCACAAGGGGGCCAGCCGUCAACCGAGUCGUAAGUGAACAAAGGUACUUUAGUAAGCAUGCUCUGUUCUUUUCUUGAGAAUAACAACCGAGACAUAUGUUUUGCAGUUUAGCUCAUAGCCUCCCUCAACAAAGUUCGUCUUCGGUGGAUCUUCUUCCGGAGAUGAUGGAGAGCGAAACGCCUCCUCCUACUUCUCCGCCUCAUGAGGCGGACGACCCUGAGGUGUCAUCCCGGAGGAUCUCUCCCGAUCCGCAAAGACCAGAAGGAAACUCUUCGGUCGUCUGAAGUAUGGGGUUUUCAGCUCCUAGAGAGACCAACAGAAAAAGCCCCGGAUUGUCCGAUGUGCAACCGGACACAUUGACGGGUCUUCUGCAGCAAGCGGCUAUCUCAGAGGCACAUUGUACCUUAAUGGGUAUGGUGGUUGAGAGGAUUUCAUACACAAAAAGCGGGUUGAAUGAAGCUUUUACGAGCCUGCUAAGAGGCUUUGAGGUACGCAAAGUGAUAUAUAUAUUUUUUAAUGUACCGCACACGCAAGGUGUACUCUGUAUAGAUAGUAGCCCCUGAGACUCUGGUUGCCAUCCGGACGAGGCGAGCAGAGGAUCAUAGUCUCUGGUAAUGAUGGUGCCAAUUUUGUCUGCAGGCGGCUGUAGAUCCCGCGGCUGACCGGACUGCUGAAUUUACCGAACUGAGGGGGAAACUUGACGUGGCGGAUGCGGACAUCACGCUUGUGAACAAGCGGCUUGACGAGGCACAUGGUAUGUAUAUUUGAGUGAUCAGCAAAUAUUAAUAAGAGCAUGAUGCUAAGAUUUAUAAUAUGCUUUGACUUCAGAUGGAGCUGCCGCCGUGGAGACCCUUCGGGCAGAACUUGCCUGGGCCAAGGAGCAAGCCAGGAGAAGUGAUGCGGCCGCCAUGAAGACAGCCGAAGAAUUAAAAUCCGAACAGGCUGCUCAUCGCCAAAGUGAGGAUAAAAUAGCCAACAUGGCUAUUGAGCUACAAAAUGCCGCCCGCCGACUCAAAAGGGAAAACCAAACGAAAACAGCUGACCUAGAGAAGGCCUUGCAAGCAACAAAGGAAACUCGCUCUGAAAUCAGAGUGGCACGGGAGGAGCUUCGGCAAGCCGGUGAUAUCGUGGCUGGGAAGCCCUUUUUAUUGCGAACGAAGUUCGGCGAUCCGAAAUAUGCCCCUCUUGAUCAAUUAUGGAGUUAUGUAGAUGUAUACUUGGAUUUAGCAAAGAGUGUUGCUGAUGCGACACAGUAUUUCAAAGAUCGAGAAGAUCAUGAGGUGGAAAGAUUGUUCUGGUCGCAGUUCAGUGCUCCAAAGCAUUCACUGCUGUUGAAUGAGCAAAUGGCCGAAUGGGCCGAGCUCCAUAGGUUAUCCGGACUUGCCAUGAAGGCCGUCGUGGACCACCUGUGGCCGAAGGAGCCAAGUCCGGAUAGUUAUUGUAGUUUGGUGCAAUGUUUUAUUCGUGAUGUGCCACAUAUCGACGCUAUCAAGAGGUCGGCGUGCAUAGAGGGUGCGCGGAUGGCCCUUGCCCGUGUUAAGACAUAUUGGGCGAAGAUGAAGGCCACCGAUAUUGCAACCAGGGGUCCGCCAGGGGGCCAGGACUCGCCCGAGCACUAUUUUGAAGAAUUCUUAGAGGGUGCCCGUUUAAUAGAGGCUCAGUCCUCAAAGAAUACCAUGUUCCAGUGACAUGUAUCUUAAUUGUAAAAACAAUGCUUGUGAUAAUAAAGGCUAUAUUUAUACUUUUGUCCAUAAAGUAUUGUAGUGCCUCCUGUGCGGCCGUUUAUGUAUAUAUGUAUAUAACCUGAAAGUUUGCAGUCGGCAGCUUCAGCCCCCACGCAUAUAAUGUCGGGGUGUUCGGCAAAGCGCGUAAUCACACUUGAUCCAACGUCUUGGUCCGUUAAGGAGGUGGUAGCGCGGCGAACAAGGCAAUCGGACUAUAUAGCUUUAACACUUUCACUUAGCCAUAGGAGUUUGACGGUGGGGCUACUAUAUAGCCCCUAGUAUGUCUGCGCUCAUCCGAAUACGGUGCGUGUACAUACGUGACCGGGAAACUGGUCCUUCGUUAAUGCGGAGGAAUCAUGAAGAUUCCGCUGGGUCAUCGAGUGGUUGACCAGUCUCUCGCUUUAUCAUGACAGUCGGUUUUCGGCUUUCUCUACUGAGGUGCUCAUCCAGAUGAACCAGGGCACAAUCGCAGUAGUUCUCCCGGUGCCACCUUAGCUAAUAGAGCGGAACGUAAGGUAGCAAAACACGGGAGCCAGAAAAACCAAACUAUUGACCAAAGACAUGAUUCGGAGCUGAUGCAUAUAAGGCCAAACUCGCGACGCCGAACACUCCCGAAGGUAUUUGGACUUUACAACAUAUACUGGGCUGAGUACCGCCCUCGAUAAUGAUCCCUGAAUUUCCGGGUACGUGCAUUAAUCCGGCGUGACGAAAGAGCGGUUGUGGUGAGGGCAUAAAUCCCAAAAACACAUUGGAUGCUGCCCUUGUAACGUCUAUUUUAGAUCGACGAAUCAUAAGCUUGCCAACAAUGCCAGUUUCCCUCUUGGUUAUUUGAAGUGCCCGGAGGGUGUGAGGCAACAAGAGACAAUAAAAAAAGGUUUACACAGGGUCUUAAUCUAAAAACUAACCUUGAAUGGGGCCCUGCUGCACGUCUGCGCCUUUUUCUCCGUUGUGCCGUAUCCUUGAAGGGUGUAGCACGAUAGUCAUCUAUAAAGAAAAAGGAAAAGCCUAGGUGAAAGAAUCUGGUGUGACCGUGUGAAAAGUUGGUUAUUCUUAAUGAACCAUUAGAGUUAAAUCUAUUGAGUAAUAAUAGGGUCAAGCCAAGCUAUGGACCCUUUUACAUGCGGGCAGCCCCUAGCACCACAUAUGGGGGCAUAGCCAUUAAUCAAGCUCAGGUUUAUCUGGGCUGCUACAACUAGUGGUGCGCCGAACACGUCUAGCCGUGUCCGUGGUCUCAAUGAUCGAUUAGUUACUUGGGUUGGAGAGGUCGUUCAGUGGUUCGGCUGCUAGAGCCGCCACAUAUUCUUCCGCACGCAGGGAACGCUCUGUAUUUCUGCUAAUUGUGAUGACGCCAUGUCGACCGGGCAUCUUAAGUUUAAGAUAAGCGUAAUGCGGUACUGCAUUGAAACGAGCGAAGGUCGUUCUUCCGAGUAGUGCAUUGUAGCCGCUUCUGAAUGGAGCGAUGUCAAAGAUUAGUUCUUCUCUUCGGAAGUUGUCGGGAGAACCGAAUACAGCUUCUAAUGUUAGAGCGCCCGUGCAGCGGGCCUCUACCCCUGGUAUUACUCCUUUAAAGGUAGUACUGCUUUAGCUGAUUCUUGACGGGUCUAUCUCCAUCUUGUGGACAGUGUCCUGAUAUAUCAGAUUAAGACUACUGCCGUCGUCCAUGAGGACUCGGGUGAGAUGGUAUCCAUCAAUUAUUGGGUCGCGCACCAAGGCAGCCGAACCUCCAUGCCGGAUAUUAGUCAGAUGAUCCCUGCGAUCGAAAGUGAUCGGGCAGGCUGACCAUGGGUUGAAUUUGGGGGCGACGGGCUCUACAGCGUAUACGUCUCGAAGUGCGCAUUUGCGCUUCCUCUUUGGUAUGUGGGUUGCGUAAAUCAUGUUCACUGUUUUGACCUCUGGUGGAAAUUUUUUCUGUCCCCCAGUGUUCAGCUGGCGAGGUUCAUCCUCGUCUUCACUUUGCGGCUCCCUCCCCUUGUGUUCGGCGUUUAGCUUGUCGGCCUGCUUGAAGACCCAGCAUUCUCUGUUAGUGUGAUUCGCAGAUUUCUCAGGGGUGCCAUGAAUCUAACAUGAUCUGUCUAGAAUUUUAUUUAGUCUGGACAGUCCAUCUCUGCUACCCUUAAAUGGCUUUUUCCGUUGACCGGGUAGAGAGCCCCUGAAUCCGGCGUUUACCGUCGUGUUUUCUGGGUUGUCUUCAUUAUUUCGACGCUUGUUUUUAUUGCGUCGCGGCUUCCCAUUGCCAUCCCUGAUUCCGGAUGUGCCUGGAUUGCUGGUGCCGCUGCGGGCCAACCAACUGCCCUCGCCCAUGCAAAAGCGGGUCAUAAGAGUUGUUAGGGCUGCCAUUGUCCUCGGCUUUUCCUGGCCGAGGUGUCUAACGAGUCAUUCGUCCUGGACACUGUGUUUGAAAGCUGCUAAGGCUUCGGCAUCCGGACAGUCGACGAUUUGGUUCCUCUUGGUGAGAAAUCUGUUCCAAAGCUUACGGGCUGACUCUCCGGGUUCUUGAAUAAUGUGACUCAAAUCGUCUGCAUCCGGAGGUCGGACAUAUGUCCCUUGAAAAUUAGCCCUGAAAGCGUCCUCAAUUCCUCCCAACUUCCAAUUGAAUUUUGGGGAGGCUUUUCAACUAGUGUCGAGCUGGUCCUUUCAACUUGAGGGGCAGGUAUUUGAUGGCGUGGAGAUCAUCUCCGCGAGCCAUAUGGAUGUGAAGAAUAAAGUCCUCAAUCCAGACUGCAGGGUUUGUCAUUCCGCCGUAUGCCUCGAUGUUUACGGGUUUAAAUCCCUCUAGAAAUUCAUGAUCCAGCACCUCAUCGGUGAAGCACAUGGGGUGUGCGGCGCCCCUGUAUUUGGAUGUGUCGUGGCGUGGGUCCGAUUGCUAUAGUGUUCGGUGUUGAUUCUGAGCUGGUAGUUGAUCAGUAUAGACGGUUUGGUGGCCGUGACCUUGCGUAGGAACACGUUUCCUAGAUCCAUAGAUGGACCUGGCCAUACCAGCUCUUUUGUCCAGGUGCUCACGUAGAUCAUGUGCUGACUUGUGUGCGGCGUCAUUAGCCGCUCUAUCUCGGCCACAGGGUGGUCGGUCCAGCAGAUCGGCCGUAUUGUUUUUUGGCGGGAUGGGCUCUAUAGUCUCGUCGUCGAAUUCGGGCAGUAGUGUGCGCUUUGAGUAGCUCUUUGUGUGGCGAUCACCACCGUAUAUUUCGUCAGUGUCGAGCACUUUUUUCCAUCUGUGGUUGAGCGUAUCCUGCGCGGCUUUAAGUCGUUGCUUCUGCUUCUUCAAGCUCCUCGUGGUAGCAAUAAUCCUUUUGUGGAGGUGCUCUUGUUCCAAGUGCUUUUCCGGGAUGAUGGGUGCAUCGUUGUCCGGACUGUUCUCCUCUCCGGAGACAGGUUUAUAAAUUUUGUCUUCGGCAUCGCUGUGAUCAGACAGCGGCCCCGGACUGUGUUUGCCGUCCCCUGGCUUAUCCUGCUCCAUCGUUGGGCCUACGGGGUCGUCGUUGUCUUUAGCGUCGUCCGGGGUAUUAUUCUUUCUUGUGCCGGUAUCGUUGUUUUUGCUAUGGCGGGCUUUAGAGCGACGCCGCUCACGUCGGCGCUUUGUUUGCUUCUCAAGGGGAUUAUCCUCCGUUGCAUCAUCACCAUUGCUUUCUUUGGGUGUGUUCACCAUAUAUAUAUAUAUAUAUAUAUAUAUAUAUAUAUAUAUAUAUAUAUAUAUAUAUAUAUAUAUAUAUAUAUAUAUAUCUUAUGAUGAGGUGUCUUUCCAGCGCCCUGGGGGUGGUGGUUCCCGUUUUUCUCCCGCAUCAUCGUCCAUGCCGUUGAUGUCUUCGGAGUCGAAAUCAAGCGUGUCGGUUAAGUCAUCGAUAGUGGCUAUUAAGUGGGUGGUGAGUGGGUAACGAAUUCCUUCGUCAUCCGCUUCCCAAUCAAACCAGACAUAGUUCGGCCAAGAGUCUCCUGACAUGGAGAGAGAUUUUAACGAGUUCAGUACGUCGCCCAAGGGCGAGUGCUGAAAGAUAUUCGUGGAGCUAAACUCCAUGAUCGGUGCCCGGUCAGAUCCGAUGGGAACGGAUGCGUGCGGUUCGGAGCCUAUGGCCGGAGACGAGUCCGAGGGUCCGAUGACACAGACCUCCUUGGAAGUGAAAUCUGUGUUCGGCUCUAUCGCCGCAGAGUGUGUGGCUUCCAUGGCGGGGUCCAUCCUCCCGUCCUUGGAUGGCACGAUCUGCUCUGAAUUUAAAGCCAGUGCAGCUGUAGGUGUGAUCUCUUGAACAACUUCCGAUGGCAUAUCUAAGUCAUGCUCAUCACGACUGUAGGGCGCACCUAUCAUGGGCUCGAAUCCAUCAAAGAUCAAGUCUCCGCGGAUGUCGGCAAUGUAGUUCAGGCUUCCAAACCUGACCUGAUGGCCAGGGGCGUAGCUAUCGAUCUGCUCCAGAUGGCCAAGCGAGUUGGCCUAGAGUGCGAAGCCGCCAAAUACGAAGAUCUGUCCGGGGAGGAAAACGUUACCCUGGAUUGCAUCAUUGUAGAUGAUUGCAGGAGCCAUCAGGCCUUAUGGUGACGACACAAUGGAACUCUCAAUGAAAGCACCAAUGUCGGUGUCAAAACCGGCGGAUCUCGGUUAGGGGUCCCGAACUGUGCGUCUAAAGCUAAUGGUAAUAGGAGGCGGGGGACACAAUAUUUACCCAGGUUCGGGCCCUCUCUAUGGAGGUAAUACCCUACUUCCUGCUUGAUUGAUCUUGAUGAUAUGAGUAUUACAAGAGUUGAUCUACCACGAGAUCGUAGAGGCUAAACCCUAGGAGCUAGCCUAUGAUUAUGAUUGUUGUUGUCCUACGGACUAAACCCUUCGGUUUAUAUAGACACGAGAGGGGGCUAGGGUUACACAAAGUCGGUUACAGAGAAGGAAAUCUACAUAUCCGAAUUGCCAAGCUUGCCUUCCAUGCAAAGGAGAGUCCCACCCGGACACGGGACAAAGUCUUCAAUCUUGUAUCUUCAUAGUCCAACAGUCCAGCAAAAGCAUAUAGUCCGGCUAUCUGAGGACCCCCUAAUCCAGGACUCCCUCAGCGGGAGCUAGGCGGGAAGAACCCUAUUCCAUCUUCAAGAAGUCGCCGCUAAACCCGGGCAUGGGCAGCCCGGCCCGACGACUCGGCCCGAAAAACCCUGGCCGGGCCGAGCCGGGCUUGACAUUCGGGCCGGGCUCGGGCUUUGUUUUGCAGCCCGAAAGAUAGUUCGGGCCGGGCUCGGGCUUCAAUUUUUCUGUAUUUUGGGCCGGGCUUUCGGGCUUCGGGGCGGGCUUGCACGUGCGCGUACUAAAAAGCAGCAUUUGGGCCGGGCUUUCGGGCUUCGUGCUUGAUUUCGUGCCGGGCUCGGGCUUGAAAAUAUGGAGUAUUUCGGGCUUCGGGCCGGGCUCAGGCUUGUGAAAUGAAGGUCGGGCUUUUACAAGCCCGGCCCGGCCCGACGUUUGCCCAGGUUUAGUCGUCGCUGCCACAUCUUCUUGAGCAAGGUACAAAACCUAACAAAACUCUUGCAGGCAAGAGUCGGGAUCCAUCGCACCUCCAUGGUCCAUGGACCAUAGGAGACGAGGCGGACAGGCGGCGGCGUCGGCGAGAGGCAGGGAAACCCUAGAAUAGAGUUCGCAGGAGGCCACAAGAUAACAACCUACACACGAUAACUAGUUAAGCAAGUAAUAAAAACUACUCCCUCCGUUUCUAAAUAUAUGUCUCUUAAGAUAUUUCAAUAUGAACUACAUAUGUAUAUAGACGUAUUUUAGAAUGUAAAUUAAUUUAUUUUACUCCAUAUGUAGUCAAUAAUGGAAUCUCUAAAAGAGCUUAUAUUUAGGAAUGGAGAGUGUAGUAAAGUUAGGUUUAGAAACAACCGAAAGUGAUGCACACAAAGAUGUAAUCUGAAGUCCACACUUCUGGGAAGUGUUAAUCUACGUUGCAGAGGUGCGGCACAACGAAUUCUCCUACGACAACGAAUGUCUAGGGCCGGUCAUGAGGUUUCGUUGGCUCGGGCGGACCUGAAGCUUGGGGUGCCUCAUUAUAAAUGUCAAAAUAACAAUCCAUAUGCAAUAUCCAAUAUGUGGAUAAAUUGUUUUAUACUUACUACCAUAAAAUUUUCUUAUAACAUUCCAAAAUACAAAAGUUGAUGAUGAUGGUAUCAAUAUUAAUGUGAUCUAACAAUUCCUUCUCAAUGAAGAAGUUGGUCUUAAGGAUUCUAACAAUACAUUUACUAUGUGAUUCAUCAACUCAUGUACUUAUUUCCCCUUUUUCCGCUAUCGAAUACAUACUCGUUAGAUGAUGUGACAUUUUUUAAAGAAAGGUUAGUAAUUAAACCUAGCACAAAGCUAAUAGAAUCAUGAAUUUAUCGUACAAAAUCAAUUAGUUAGGGCAAAAUAGCAUAGACAAACCUGUCUGAGAGAGAUGUCAAUCGGAUCCAAGCAGGAUCACUGAAGACCAAUGUCGACUGGAUUCAAGAAGAUUGUUGGAGACACCUCCACACACCUCCGUCCACACUAGUCGCACCGCUGGAGCAGAAAUAGGACAGGAUGAGCAUCAUUUAAAUCUAGGACAUUGCUUGGUCGCCCUAAUUCGGACACUAAAACUACCUAAAGCAAGGAUGGGAUCCCUCCCACCGGGGCGGGACGCGGGAGGGGGGGGGGGAGGGUUUGCCGCACCUCCCAGGGCCAUAGGUCAGUUGGAGGGAGGACAGACCGGCGGUGGCGCCGACAAGGGGGCAGAAAAAUCACUUGUGGAAGGAGAGGGGAACGUUUCAUACGAUGGCUAUAGAAACAUUAUAGAUUUGAUGUACUCCCUCAGUUACAAAAUACCAUAGGUCUUUUUAGAUAUUUCAAUAUAGACUACAUACGAAGUAAAAUGAGUGAAUGCAUAUUCUAAAGUAUGUCUAUAUACAUCCGUAUGUAGUUCUAUUGAAAUCUUUAAAAAAGACUUAUAUUUAGAAACAGAUGGAGUAGUACAAUAUGAGUGCUUAUUUCUAAGAUCAAACCAUCACUCUACUCAUUAGCUCAUAAUUUAGCAUCUCUUGCUGCGUGCGGUAAUAAUAAUAGGACUAAUCCACCCAAUCAUUGUGAGCACCAAAACGCAUCCAAAAAACCCUUUGGCUUGUGAUGUGACCUCCAUUAUUUUCCCUCCCUCCUUCCCGGACGACUCUCUUUCCUUGCCUUUAAAAGUCCAUCUCUCCCGGUCUCUUCCGAUGGCACAAGUUCGUACUGCUUGCACACCCACUACAGUCUCGGUGUAUCGUCUCACUUGUCUUUACGUGGCAAGCCCGGGAGUUUCCCCUUCUUUUGCUUUACUUCUCUUUUUUCCUCUUUACUUUCAGAAAUUUCUACUCUUUUCCAUAAAUCCUUUUUAGGGAACCUUCCUUUAUGUAUGCAUACAUGAAAGAGGGAAUAUGUCCACACCAAAAGAAAAGUUAUAAUAAAGAAAUUAUACUCGCACCGCUCGUUCGUCCUUUCUCCUUUUGUUAACAGUGCCCUUUUGUGUGUGUGGAGGCAGGGAGGCAGGCUGGUCCACCAUGGAAUUAGAAUGAGUAAAAGUCAAAUCCAUAUUGCACCAUGCCAACAAGGCUGCCGAGUCAUCCUAUCACCCCUUUCUUUUCAUGCUUUGCUACUCGUACUUUUCCCUCACUCACAUGCAUCUACAAGAUUGAUCACAUGGAUUCUAAUCAUGUCUAUUACUACUAGAACUCUUUGUUUUCCCGUUUUAUUGAUGUUAUUUACUGAUGCAUAAGAAUACAGGUGAAUAAAAUGUAGAGUACGGCUGAAAUGUGUGGUAAAAUCAACCGUUCCUAAUCAACCCUAGCCACCGCCGCCGCCCCCACUCUUCUACCCACCCGUUGCCGUCAGAGGACGCCGGUAGACAAAGCCCACACGGCUGACGGCUGCAGCGGGGUUGCCUUCUCGCGCAGGGGAGCGCUUCCUGAUCGUAUGACAUGGUGGCUCUGGACGGUGUGGCGUACACGAUGGAGCUUGGACGUCGGGACGGCGACCCUGGGCACUCUAGGAGGUGGCCCAGCUGUGGUGCUAGGUGACCGGCGGUGUCGGGCAUGGACAACUUUCGAUACUCAGAUGUAGCAGUAAACCGUUGGCGACAACUCGACAGCCUAGUCGACGGUGGCAACACUAAUGCGGUAGCACACAAAGUGAUGCGUCAAUAAGCUGGGGUGGUGCGCCUAUAGCCUAAGGCGGCCAUGGAGUUGACACCAUGCCUCUGCGUCGUUGUCGUUGGCGACCUCUAGCACAUUUACCCUGGAGCACGUGCUUGAGUUGAAGUUGCCAACGACAUUUGGCUCUCCACGGUCUGUGAUCGUUAUGUGUUCGCAAGCAUGGAUUUGGGCGCAUGGCGAUAUCCAUGCCAAAGAUAUGCAAGUGAGCGAUUGCCUCCGGGCAGGUAUGUCAUGGAGUGAUUUAUUANNNNNNNNNNNNNNNNNNNNNNNNNNNNNNNNNNNNNNNNNNNNNNNNNNNNNNNNNNNNNNNNNNNNNNNNNNNNNNNNNNNNNNNNNNNNNNNNNNNNNNNNNNNNNNNNNNNNNNNNNNNNNNNNNNNNNNNNNNNNNNNNNNNNNNNNNNNNNNNNNNNNNNNNNNNNNNNNNNNNNNNNNNNNNNNNNNNNNNNNNNNNNNNNNNNNNNNNNNNNNNNNNNNNNNNNNNNNNNNNNNNNNNNNNNNNNNNNNNNNNNNNNNNNNNNNNNNNNNNNNNNNNNNNNNNNGGGGAGGGGGGGGGGGGCGAGGGGGCAACACAUGAUAAACUUUGGCCUUGGUGAUACUCGAGGGGUGUCGAACUUGGGGGAAAACCUGUGGCCGCACCUUGCCAGGAUGGUGUUUACGCACGGCGUCCUUGUUGAAGACAUUGCUUUGCAGUCUACCCAGACGUGUUGUAUGGGGUGAAGAUGUGGCAGGUCGUUUCUUCCUUGAGGCGAGGCAGGCUGAAACCAACACAGAUGUCCAACAUCACCAAAACCAACCACGAGGACACCGCGAGUGAUCAAGGUGGCGCCUUCAUGAAGAAGAACGAUAUCGUCACCAUCCGAUCUAAAGAACCGGACCAAGGGUUUUCCAUUUACUCGUCUAGGAGCAAAUAACUAAUUUUCUUUCAGUCUAAGCACCCUCUAAAAAUAUUCUUCAUAGUUUUCUAUUUUGCUCUACAUCAGAACAUUUCCUCCCGUAGUGCUCGACCCCCGUCUCAUUAUUAGUCAUGGCACAUGAACACAGACAUUCCAUCAGUUUUAAUGCCAACGCAGUAUGCAGCACACAAUCAAGGCACCAUCAUCAGAGAGAACAAGUGAUCAAGGUUUAUCCACAUUUAUUUAGAUAAAAUGAGAAGCCAGCAACAUUAAUCAAUGCAGAUGUAGAUAGAGCUCAUGGGAAGUGGGGAAUUGCAUUCAUGGCGCCGUCGUAGAGAGGGAGCAAGCCGGAGAUGGAGCAAACUUGCCCUGCCGCCUACCUUGUCCCUCCUCCAUGAGAAUGCUACUCCAAGAGCCAUCAAUGGCUAAUUCCCUACCUCCCCCCCCCUACAGGAACCGUCUUUUCCAGCCGCAUUGCAAAAUGACACCUU
This 72529-nucleotide long non-coding RNA is filed under the name Triticum aestivum (bread wheat). RNAcentral describes it as "long non-coding RNA (TAES_LNC007172)". Lineage: Eukaryota; Viridiplantae; Streptophyta; Magnoliopsida; Poales; Poaceae. The record is from RNAcentral.